CCAAAUUUCAUCGACAUAUCUAAGGAUGACGGUGGAUUCGCAGACCGGUUUUCCGUCAUGAACGAGCACCGGGACUUUCUUAUGAAUUGGAUUAUAUUGAAGAAGCAAAGGACUCUUGUUGGAGAGAUCUUCUUCGAUGUAUUCGUAAGGUAUGCCUUUGAGUUUCAGAGCCCAAAUUACUCUGAAAACGUACGGACUAAGCCAAGCUCCGAACAGUUUCACGACCGCCAUGGUUGGGAGAUUAGUCGAUUUUCUGGUAGAUCCUGAGAGCGGUGAGUGUAAAUUUAUAAUAGGAUUAGUAGUCAAAGCUUUGAUUAAGGUAAAGAUGAAGUGUUAAUAAAAGGAAUUAAACAAAGGUGGAUAGAAAUACUUUUAUAUAAUAAUAUAAGGUAAUGUCAUGCAUGAUGCAACUUUAUUACUUGGUUUUUGUAAUUUGAAUUAAUAUUUUUAGAAUAUGUGUUUAAAUUUGUCGAUUUGAUAAAUGUGAUUGUUCAAUAAAAAUAAAAUAAAUUCAUUAAAAAUAUUUAAAAAUUCAAUUCAAUUCUCAAUUCAAUUAAUUUUUUAAUCGGUUUAAACUGUUCAAUACUCUUUUUCGAACAAAUAAAUUCGACCAACCGGAAAAUAUGUUUUUUCUUAUAUAGUUAAUGUCUCCUAUAUAUUUGUUUGGUAAACUAUAAAAAUAGUUAUUUUUGUUUGUUUUAGAUUACAUUUUAGUCAGUUAUGUUUAAAAUGUUACGUUGUAAUCACUUACAUUAUAGUUUUGAUACGAAACGGUCACUCUGUCGUUAACCUUCGUUACCUCCCUAAUGGCAAUCCUACGUGGCAGUCCAAAUGGGUUUUAAAUGUCGACUUGGAUGUCCAACUGGGACAAUGAUAGGUUUUUAAUUAAUUACACCUUGAACUGGAAAAGAAAAACCGGCCAUCUCCUUUUUCUUUUAGUUUUCUUUUCCAUUUUGACUGAAAAAACUAUUAUUAUCCCAGUUAGAUAUCCAAAUUAGAAUUUAGAACCCAUCUGGAUUGCCAUAUAGGAUUGUCAUUAGGGAGGUAAUGGAGCUUAAUGGCAAAGUGAUUACUUCGUAACAAAACAAUAAGUGACUAAAACGUAACAUUUCAAACAUAAUCAACUAAAAUAUAAUCUGGGACAAAUAAAAAUAACUAUUUUUAUAGUUUAUCCAUAUUUGUUUUGCAGUUUAUAAAGAUGAUUUGUGAUUGUUCUUUUCAAUAAUGCCGUUUUGAAAAUUUUGACUCGAUUUUUUUAUUAAAAGUAUAAUAUAACUUACCAUUACACUUAAUGAUUAGACAAGAAAAAUUUUUAAGUACAAAAACGAUAUAUAUAUAUAUAUAUAUAUAUAAACAUUGCUGUAUAUCAUGAUUAGUGAAUAUAAUAUAUUAAAUCUUUUAGGUAUUUAAAAUUAUCUAAUUUAAAUACAGCCUAAACUCUAUCUGGUAUGUUCGAUGUUUUACGUAAGCAAACAUGUCAUUAUGUUUGAUUCCAAGAACUUGCUAGAAAUUUUUGAGCCAUUGUGAAUAUAUUUAUACACUAAUAGUAAUUAUAUCGAAUGCGUAUGAAAAUUAUAAAUUUAAAAUAUAUAUGUGGGAGCUUUUAGGUAGCCUGCUUCUUUAUCACAAUCGAGAACUUGAUAAAAUGAUGAUAUUCACUGAUAAUUUAGACACGGGCAAUUGAUAAUAUCAAAUUCUUCAAAUUUUAAAGCAUAUUGAAUAACGGAGGUUAAGACGUGUUCAUGAGAAAGAGAAUAAAGAUGCAUAUUUCCUAGCUAAAAUAGCUUUAGACAAGAAUGAAGGUGUUCAGGUUUUCGAUGAAGCUCCUGGGGAGCUCAUAGCUUAAAAUAUUUGAUUUAGCAAUUUGAUUUUGUUUUCAUAACUAAUUAUUGAAUUGAGAGUAUUUAGUCAUUCCCGUGACUUUUUCUUAGCUAAGAGAAUGAAUAGUUGUCGUUUAUUUUGAAGUGAUCAUAUUUUUACAAUAGUUAUUAUUUAUUUUUCUAAUUUCAAGUUUAAAUUUGUACUAACUAUUCUUUUGUGUGUGUGUGUGUGUGUGUGUGAGAGAGAGAGAGAUAAAAAAAUUACAUCAAAUUUCCUUGAAGAAAAGCUUGGCUACUUUUAUACGUUGCAACAUCGCUAAGACUGCAUCAGGAGGGUUCUCGUAAAUAUGUAAACUUAUCUUCCAUUCUAGACUCAUCUUUGCUAAGCAACCGGCCACUAAAUUAGCUUCUCUAGGAACAUAUCGAAUCCACCACUGCCCUUCAGAUUCUAAAAUUCGUUUAACUCUCCUGAGCAUAGUAACUCUUGAGUUGUCCCCCCACUCUCUUGUAGGGCUUUGACCACCAUCAGAUUAUCAGUUUCAACUAUUCUUUAUUUUAUGUCUAACUAUUAUAAAACAUAUAUAAUAAAUAAGUAUUUUCCUUGUGUUCUUACACUAAUAAUCAAACGAAACAUUAGUAUUAUUUUAUCCCACAUCACUUAGAUAAGGGUUUUGAACUUUGUUUAACUAUUAAUGAACACUUCCAUAGGAGACAAUACAGUCAAUGUUCCAAACCCUAAUUUGAUUUUGAUGUCAACAACAUCUCUCUACGACGCUUCAACAAAGCUAACAUCUUAUCAAUAUCAGGCAAGUUGUCUUUGAUUACAGGGACUUAUUUGAAAAUUUGGAUCCCUGAGCUCACUCGAGGGAACUUGUGUGGCUCGAAGAUUUUAAGCCCUGCAAAGUCUUCGAUAAACCCGAGCCAGUGAGCAACCAUGCAAAAUGCAAUGUCCACCAUGUUUAUCUCGUCUCCGCUGAAGAAUUUUUUUCCCUCCGAUCAAUACAUGUUCUUCCAUGGCUUCCAACAUUUCUAACCACUCCUUCACUACCGCCUCCUGUUUUUCACUUUCGGUCUAAUAAAGCUUUGAGAGUAAAUGACUCUAUUUUAAGCAGAGAUUCUAGUAUCAGUCAUAAAAUGUAACACCCCCUAACCCCGAACUGUCGCCGGAACAAGGCUGCGAGGCAUUACCAAAUAUAUCAGACAACUUACGAAUAAUUCAUAAAUAAAAUAACAUUCAUAAUAUAAUUGAAUAACUAAGUCCCUGUAAUGAACUUUCGAAGUCUAAAACAUGUAUUAAAAGUGAAAUGGGACUCGUUCAAGUACUUCAAAUUUUUUUUUAUAAAUUUCGACAGCAUUUCUACUUAUUUUCUCAUAAAAUCCCCUACAAUUAAAAUCGUAUCAUUUCCAACAUAACCAAUUCAACCAAUUCAUUUCACAUUCUCAUUUUCUAUUCUAAAUACCUUCUAAUCAAACUCAAUCAAUAUAAUAUCAAUUUAAAUUUAUCAAUGUACUAAUUAAAUUGAAAUGGAUAAACUUCUUUCAUUAUAAUUCUUAGAUUUAUAAUACUAACAUUUUUAACCAUUCAUAUUCAAAACAUAAUAACCUUUAUACACAUCCUAUGUACAUGCCACAUUACCAAAAGAAAAUAUACAUCACCAAAAUUUUGCUGAAGUCGGGUCUGGCUUUGGAUGCUGGUUCAAUACUUGACUUCUACAACCUGUGCACGGAAACAACCGUACGCUGAGUAUGCAUAUACUCAGUGGUAUCACUAUAAUUCAAUUUAUAAUUAAAUACAUUAAAUCACACACAUACUUAUUCAUUACAAUUAUCAUUAAUUAAUGAACAAUUCAAUCUUUUUAUAUUAUCAAUUGUUUAAAUAUAUAUGUACCAUUCUUAUUUCUUUAUUUCAAUUCUUGCCUUUCACAUAUACUAUAUCAUUCAAGUUUAGUUUUAUCAGUAAAUUUAUUUCAUUUGUCCCUAUUAACUUGACUCGGACUCAGCGGAUACACGGAUUCCAGCCAACACACCAAUACGGCACAUAGUGCCUAAAACGGUACAUAGUACCUGAUCAGUAAUCAGUAAUCAGUAACGAUAGCAGUAACAGUAACAGUAACAGUGUUCAACACACAAAGUGCUGAAUCUGUAACAGUAACGGUAACAGUAUUCGACACACAAAGUAUCGAAUCAGUAACAGUAACAGUAGUCGGCACAUAAGUGCCUGAUCAGUAAGUCGGCAAAAACCCAUACUCUUCCAUAUCCUAUGGCAUGCCACCUAUAUCUGACUAGCCCGACUAGUUAAUAGGGUAUUUAAUUCACUUUUCAGUACAAUUUCCAUCUUAGUUUAGUAUCAAUUAAAAUUUCUUAUUUUGAUCAGUAUCACAGUCAGGGAUUUAAAUUGCGGUCGCGGUCGCGUUUUCAGUCGCAUUGCGUUCAUCGCGGUUGCGGACAUAACGGAUGCUAUUGCGGUCAUUGCGGCUAUCGCGGUCGUGAAUUUUAAAAAAAAAUUCACACAACUUAUUGUAAAAUAUAAUAGCGGUUUCAGUAGUAGCGGUUUCGGACGAUGCCGCUACCGCUAUAUAACGGCCGCUAUUUCUGUAACGGACCGCUAUUUAAAUCCCUGAUCACAGUAUUGCAGUAAUUCAUUACUUCGGUAAUUUCACAGUUCAAUGCAGUACACUUAACAAUAUUCAGUAACUUCACAAUUCAAUUCAGUAUUCAAAACAAAAUUCAGUAUUCCAUAAUUCAGUUUCGUAUCAGUCUCAAUUUCAAAUCCAAUCAUAAAUUUUCAUUUUACUAAACACUUACCUUAAAAUACUUACCACACAUAAUUAGUAAAUUAAACACAUAAUAAUGAUAAAGUUUGAAUUAUAGUGAUAGAAACCAGAAUUCUCUUCGGAUUUAAUCCUCGACGAUCUUUUCUUUUCCUUUUUGGGCCGAUGCUUCAGGCUCGAUAUUAGCUAUGAACAAUUAAAAUAAUUUUACAAUCAUUAACACAACACAAUUUAUUUGCUAAAAUUUUUAUCUAACUUUUACUUUAAUUUCAAUUUAAUCCUAACUAAACCUAUAUAUUUUUCUUUCUCAAUUCAUACCUUUUUGCUACUCAAUUUCUUGCCAAACUCACAUUUAACUAUCUAAUUUUUAUCAUAUUUUCAUAAUUUCAAAUUUAUUUCAAUUUAAUCCCGAAAACUCAAAACUUAUGGCUUAGUUUACAAUUCAAUCCUUUAUUCAAUUCCAAUCAAAAUUUCUAUCAAAUAAAUCCCCGAUUCCAUCAUUUAUUCAACAUGAACCCUAUUAAAAAAUCUAUUAACUUUCAAAAUUUCAACUUAAAUCCAAGAGUAUUUCACUCUAGGAUUCCAAAAACAUCAAAUUUGUAAGAAAAAUGACUUGAUUAAACUUACCCAUUAAACUUCAAGCUUCAAAUCCCUAGAUAUUUCCCUUUUAUUUUUCUUUCCUAUUGUUUCUUCUCCUGUUCGAAUGGCUUUUGCUGUUCUUUUGUUUCUUUUUCUUCUUUUUUUCUUUUAUUUCUUUAGUUUCUUUUAUUUACUUUAUUUUAUUUACUUAAUAAUUAAUAUAAUAUCUUAUGCUUAAAUGUUAAGUAAACCAAUUAUUUAAUUACAUUUGUACAUAUUAUAUUAUUACACUUGUAUAAAUUUUGUACCAUAUAUUUGUCAAUUAUCUUAUUUAUUUAAUAAAAAUCUAUUUAACAACAAAUAAUAAUAUUACAAAUGUACGUAUAUAUUUUAUUCAUAAAUGUACAGUAUCAUCUAUACCAUACAUUUGUCAUCAUUUAUUUUAUUUAUCACAGAAAAAUCUUAUAAUUUAAUUAAUACAAUUAAUAAUUAAUUAUAAAAUAUCUUCAUACUUAAAUUUUAAGUAAUUUAGGUGUUUAGUUUACAAAUGUACAAAUAUAAUUUUUACACAUGUAUAUUUUAUUACCAUACAAUUGUCUACUAUUUACUUUACUUAAUAAUAAUAAUAAUAAUAAUAAUAAUAAUAAUAAUAAUAAUAAUAAUAAUAUAAAACCAUAAUAAUGGUUAAUAAUUAUAAUAAUUAUAUAUAUAAUAUUUAUGUAGAACUUAAAUAAAAUCUUAGAUUUUAAUGCAUAUAUGCCGCUUCAUUUCAUAUAAAUGACUUAAUUUUCAUUUUAGCCUUUUUUACUUUCUUUUAAUCUAUAAUUAAGAUUUCAUUCUUUAUUCAAUUUAAUCCUUUUUCCUAAUUACUUUAAAUUAGGCUAAAUUCACUAAAUAAAAAUUUAAAUAAACACACUAUUAGACUCAUAAUUACUCCUAAUAAUUAUUUACUAACUCAGUUUACUAAGACGGAGGCCCGAUAACACACUUUUUCGAUGCCCACGGAUUUUGGGUCGUUACAUAAAAAUUUAUUUACCAUAAAAAAAAUCCAAGCUACAAAGUGCUAAAAUCUCAAUUUCAACUAGGUUAAAAUAUGCUACAAGUCUUUGUAUUCUUUGUAUGUUCAAUUUAGUCCUCCUAUUUUUUUGUUUCAAGAAAUUUAAUCCCCUACUGUUAAAGUUUAAAAGGGUUAAAUCACUUUACGAGGCUAAAACUUAGCAACUACUCCCACAUUGGGGCCUGAACCAUUUUUUUGUUCAAAUUAGUUCUUGAACUUGGCGACUGUUCUCACGGUAUGGCCUAAACUAUUUUUUGUUUAAGUUAAUCCUUGAAGUUGACAAUUAUUCCGACAUUGAAGCUUGGAUUUUAUAUUUUUUAUUACGGUGCUAAAGCUUUGCUUCAUUUUUUAAAACUAAGGGUGUUCAUGGGUUGGGCGACCCAACCCGAAGGCCUGCCUGAAAAGUGAGAGAGUUUAGGCAGAAAUAUAAGCCCAAAAUAGGUUUGGACAAAAAUUAAGGCUUGUUUAGGCAAAAAAAUGUGUCGAAACUGGAGUAAGGUUUUUUUGACCUGGACCCAGCUCGAAUUUGCAAAAAAAAAAAAAACUUUUUCUUGUUGUUUUCCACUAUUUUGUUGUCAUUUCACUAUUAUGUUGUUAUUAUUUGGAUAUUGUAUAACUCUUAUUUUAUUGUCAAUUUUGUUACUAUUUUAGAGACAUUUGCUUGUUAAGUUGCACCUAUCUUAGUUUUAUUUAAGUAUAAAGGUUUUUAUUUUAAUUUAUUUUCAAUUUGUUAGGAAAUAUUUGUUUUAAUGUUUUAAGUGUAUUUGGUGUAUUAUAUUUUUAAAAUUUUUUAUAUAAAAAAUAAAAUACGGGUGGGCCAAACCAAACCUAUCAAUUGGGCCUAAAAAUUUGUUAAUGCCUGACCUGAUCCGACCCGUAGACACCUCUAUUUUAAACCAUCUUCUUUGCUGACUUAGGCAAGUAAAUGGAUUUAUUUAAGCGAGGAGAUAGAAAGAAAAAAAUAAUCCGACAAAUAAAAUAAAAAAAUAUUGGUUGCAAAGAGAAACAUAAUAUAAAGAAUAUAAAUAUGAAAUUCUUUAUAACUUGUUAAAGAAAUUCCGGAUCAACGUAAUGAUAAAAGAAUGAUAAUAACAGAUUCAACCCCUAUACUUUAUCAAUAUAUCUAAUAUGGUAUCUUUACUUUUAAAAUAUAUUGCCAUAUAUCCUUCUAAUGGAGUUAAAAUCUUACAUCGCUUUGAAUGCAACCAAUUGUAUGCUGCCAUGUGGCACUAUUAGUUUGAAAAAUUUUAAUCAGAGUCAAGGGAUUUGAAAAUAGUUAUUCCAAAAAUUGUUUUAAAAGGCAAAAAGAAGAAAGAAAACACUAAGACCAACCUGAGCCCAGCAAAAUUUAGCUUUCGGAGAGAUGGCUGAGUGGUUCAUAGCUCCGGUUAUGAAAACCGGUACAGUUCGAAACAAAUAAUUAUCGAAGGUUUGAAUCCCUCUCUCUUCUUUGCUCGAUGAAUAGGUUUGUAAUUAAUUGGAUUUAGUCACAACUGUACUGAGAUCGAUUCAACUAAAAAUUGAUGAUUUGAUUGGUUUAAUUGCCAAUUCGAUUGUUAUAAUAUUAAUCCAAAAUAGUCAAUAAAAUAUUUUUAUUCUAGGAUAAAUAUACAUUUUGAUAUUUGAACUUGAUUUCAAGGUUCAAAUUGGUACUUAAAGUUUAGGGUUUAAAUAAGAGGAUAAUACACUUCAACACACUCAAACCCACGCGAUUUUAGACUCUUAAAAAUUAACAAUUCAUUUUAAUUAAUUUAGUUCUUUAACCUAAAACUUUGAAGUUUGGCUCUCAAUAAUUUAUAUUUUAUGCUAAUCGUUUUAAUUAAAAUAUUGUAAUUUCAAUUUUUUUUCGAAGUGAGCAAUCAAUCAAUUCAAUCCAAUCCAAAGAUUUAACAAACUCUUUUACGAAUCAAAAUAAAACCAAAUUCUCUAUAAAACCAACAAAAUCAAAUUAGUUAUGAAUAAUUUACUGGAUUGGAUUACUAAAUAAUAUUGGCAAAAAAUACUAAAUAAUUUUUUUUUGUAAAUAUAAUUUUAAUAUUAAUUUUUUCUUUCACUCGUGGAUAUGACAAAAUUCGCUAUUUGAAAUUGAAAGUCGAUUAAUUUGAUUUUGGAUUUCCAAAUGAAAACAAAUUUAUCAGACCUACAACAUACUUGACAAAACUAAAAUUUACCCGUUGAAUUGCUUUAGUCAGUUUGACCCGACUAUUGCACACCCUUAGUUUUGCUCCCGGAAUGUAUGUAUACUUGUUAACAUCGGGACUGGUAUCAUUGGAAUGAAACGUGGAGAGCAAGCAAUGAAAUUUUCCGAAGAAAAGUGUCCUCUCCUACUUCCUUCUUCCUCGUACUUUCUUCUGAUGUUUCUUUCUUCUUUCUUUCUUUAUUUGCUUAAUUAUAUCUAUAUCUAUGCUUAGAAUUUUGAAAAUUGGGCAAAGCAUCAAUAUAUUCCUUUCUUUAUGAAGACCAAAACCAACACCCAAGAAAAGAAUCUACUAACCAUGAGGCCUGGAAUAAUUUCAUUUUUGUUUUUCUUCUUCUAAAUAAUUUCACAAUAUCUGAGAGUUGGAAAGAAAGAGAUGGAAAUUCAACAUUUCGGCCAUCACCAUCCUUUGGUCUUCAUCCAAGCUCACAGUGUUGCAAGCAAAGCAGCUCUUUGCCUUGUGUGUGAGAAACCUGUAAUGGGCUGGAGCUAUGGCUGCAAUCAAUGUGAGUUUUAUCUUCACAAGGGAUAUGCUGAGUUAGAGUUAGCCCCCAAGAUUCAGCAUCCCUUCCACCCCAAACACCCUCUCACUCUUCUUCCAAAAUCACCUUAUUCUGGGUUAGGAAUUUGUAAUUUUUGUCGUAAGAAAUUUGGGGGAUUUGUUUAUAAUUGUAAUGAUUGUAGUUUCGAUCUGCACAUCAAUUGUGCUUUGUUCAAUCAUCAUUUGCUGCAAAUUUUCCUAAUUCUUUGCACCCCCAUCCUUUGUUAUUCAUUCAAAAUCAUAACAACGAAGUCAUAACAACGAAGUCAAGUCUCAUUGCUCCGGAUGUCAGAAACCAAUAUCUGGUCCAAUUUACCACUGUUCAGAUUGCACAUAUCCUAUUUUUAACCUUCAUAAGGAAUGUGCUGAACUACCCCUUGAGAUUAAUCACCCCUACGAUCGUAGGCAUCCUCUUACUCUCUUGCCACAACCGCCUACUCAUCCCCAGAAAUGUAGUUGCUAUUUGUGCAUAAUCCAAUGGAAGGGGUUUGUUUAUUCCUGCUCUCUUUGCAACUUUGAUCUUUCACUAGAUGAUUUUCUUUUUUCACCACCAACAAUCACAGUUGCAAGUCAUGAACACCUGUGUAUGCUUGUAUCUAGAAAAAUGCCGUUUGUUUGUGAUUUUUGUGGCACUGACGGAGAUCACUCCCCCUAUUUCUGUUCUACAUGUCACCUCCUUGUCCAUAAGAAUUGCAUUUCAUUGCCACGCCACAUCAUGAUUGUUAAUGGGUAAUGUAGAAAUUAUUUACUGAUUGAAUAAUUUAGACGUUGAGUCAGUCAAAGUCUGUUGUAAGUCUGUUUUUAAUUCCAGUAGUGUUCCUUUUAUUUAGGAGAUGUAUCAAGAUUCUAUUAGAGUCCUAAUAUAUCUCUAAGUUGUUAGCUAUUUCAGUAUUUAAACUCUUCAUGGAAUAAAGUGUUUUGUAUCACUGUUAUCAAUUUCUCUAAAUUCCCAUUACUUCCGUUGCAGUUCUUUGUUCUGUUUUUUUUAGCAGCAGCCUUUUUUUUCAACAAUGAUAACACGACAUCGUCACACGAUUUCUCUUUCCUAUUCUCUUCGACAAAAUCAAGUUGAGGAUUGGAUGUGCAAAAUUUGUUACGAGGAAGUUGAUAUAAGGUAUGGAAAUUACCGUUGUCCUGCUUCUCGUUGCUGUUAUAUUGCUCAUGUACGUUGUGCAACUGAUAAAGUAAUUUGGGAUGGAAGAAUUAUGCCGGAAGGCUAUGAUGAGAGGUCCGAGGAAGUGGUGGAUUAACCUUGGAAUUUGAUUACUGAUGUUGUUGAACAAAUUCGUAUUGGAGAGCUAAUGGUAGAAAGUGAGAUCAAGCAUUCCUAUCAUUAUCAUAAUUUAAGACUCACUUUUAGUGGGAAGACCAAAGAUGAUGAUAGUUAGUGCGAUGGGUGCACGAGACCUAUAUCAACUCCUUUUUAUAGUUGUGAGCAAUGCAAGUUCUUUCUCCACAAAGAUUGCGCUGAAUUGCCUAAAAAAAUGCCACACCCAUUUCACAAGCAUUUGCUUACUCUCCCAAACUCACACAAUGAGUAUGAUUAUUCAUGGUGCGAUGCUUGCGGACGUGUGUAUCAAGGAUUUAGCUACAGAUGCUUCGAUUGCAGGUUCAAAAUUGACAUUCAAUGUAUGUUAUUGUCGGACACCUUGAAGCACCCAAGUCAUGAGCAUUCACUCUUUCUUGUCCACAACAAUGAGGGAACGAGUUGCAGUGCUUGUUUCAGAAAACUACAAUCAAGGGAUGUUGCAUAUAGAUGCAUGAAGCGCUGUGAUUUCAGUUUAGAUGUAGGUUGUGCAACACUACCACUUACUGCUUGGUACAAGUAUGACAGGCAUCCUCUUCCUUUGACUUUUUCUGAUGAUUCUGAGCCUUCUCAACUUUACUGCGAUCUCUGCGAGAAAGAAAGAGAGCCAAAUCGUUGGUUUUACUAUUGUGCUGAUUGUGAUAACUCUCUUCAUCUCAAUUGUGCUAUUGGGGAUAUCCCAUAUAUGAAGCUUGGGAACAAAAUCAAAAGUACAGAUCAUCGACAUCCAAUCACUGUUGUGAAAAACAUCUGGAAUUGCCCUCCAUGUAUGGUAUGUGGUGAGGUUUGCAAUGGGUAGACCCUAGAAUGUGAAGAAUCUGGAUGCAAUUUCACUGUCCAUUGGGGUUGCCGUUGGGGUCUCUGGGAAUCAUUUGAAUGAUAUUCCACUCAAGUUUAAGAAACAGAGAAGCCGCAACAUCACAGGUGUGUUGCGUAGGGUGGAAGGGUGUAGGAGAUUUGGUAAAAAUGGGUGAUGGCCUUAUUGUAAUCUGCAUUAUGUGAUGUUAAUGGUUGUUUGAGCAGUAGAAGGUUGUGUUAGAUGAAACAUGAUUUGUAACCACACAUCUUAAUCUUUCACUUUUCUAUUUGCUUCUUAUCUAAAAUUAGUGAUGAGAAGGAAGAAAUGGUUUUUAGCUGGUCAUAAUAAAAUAUUUUUAAAAUAUUAAUAUAUUAAACCAAAAAAAACUCUAAAUAGAACUUCGAUCUCUUGAAUCUACCUUAAAACAAAAGGGAAUGACCGAGGUAAUGAAAGAAAUAAUAACAAGAAAAGCUCAAAGUAUUGAAGAACGUUUUUUAUUACAGAAAAACACAAAUUUACAUUAGAUAAAAUGACAUAUAAAUAGCUUAACUACAUGUAACGUUAAAGCUAAAAAACCUGCAACUAAUAGCCCACUAAAACCUCAACUAACAAAACAUAACCUGAUCAUAUCCCUAUAAAAUAGGAACCAACUUAUUUGAUAAAGAAAACAAGUAAAUUAAAAAAUCCAGUAAGAUGCACUAAUUUUUAACACUCCCCCUUAGUGCAUGCUUACGAUCAAGAACUCCAAGAGCAUCUCUAAAUUGCUGAAACUUAGGCUACACCAAAGCCUUAGUGAAAAUAUCAGCCACUUGAUCGUUGGUGCGAAUGUUUACAAGCUCAAUCUCUUCACUUUGAACCUUUCCUCGAACAAAAUGAUGUCGAACCUCGAUGUGCUUCGUUCGAGCAUGAAAAACCGAGUUCGAUGCAAGCUUAAUGGCACUUUCAUUAUCACACUUGAUUUUUACAGCAUAAUCAACUUUGCAUAUGUCUCCAAUCAACCUCUUCAACCAAAUGCACUCUUGUGUAGCCAUAGUUGCUGCUACAUACUCGGCUUCAGUACUCGACAAAGCAACAACACCUUGCUUUUUGCUACACCAAGAAACCGUUGCUGAACCGAUACUGAAACAAUAUCCCGAAGUCGAGUGACGAUCGUUUGUAUCUCCAGCCCAAUCGGCAUCAGUAAAUCCACUCAACAUAAAGCUAUCACAUCUCUUAUAUAGAAGACCAUAACCAAUAGUUCCUUUAACAUAACGCAAAAUCCUCUUUGCUGCAUCCAUAUGAAUAGUUGUUGGAUUCUGCAUAAAUUGAGAAACAACACUAACAGAGUAUGAAAUUUCAGGCCUUGUAAUGGUCAAAUAGAUUAAGCUUCCAACAAGUUGUCGGAACUUCCUUGCAUCUUCCAACGGCCUCUCAUCAUCUUUCUUCAACUUCAAAUUCGGCUCCAUCGGAGUAGCUUUUUCUUUCGACUCUCCCAUACCGAAACGCUCCAGGAGAUUCCUUGCAUAGCCUUUUUGAGAAACAAAGUAACCUUGAUCUGAUUUUUCCACUUCUAGACCAAGAAAACAUCCAAUUUCCCCUAAAUUUUUCAUCUCGAAACAAACAGACAAGUCAUUCCUCAAAUUACAAAUUUCUGAUUCAUUAUCUCCAGUUAUUAUCAUAUCAUCAACAUAUAAUAAUACCAAGAGAUGUGCACCUGGUUCCAAUUUUAUAAAUAAACUAGAAUCUGAUUCAGAAACUCUAAAGCCACAAAAAAUGAGAUAUUGAGCAGCUUUACCAUACCAUUCUCGUGGGCUUACUUAAGGCCAUAUAGCGCUUUCUUCAAACGGUAAACACGAUCGGGAAAUUCCUUAGAGACAAAGCCAACAGGUUGCUCCAUAAAUACUUCACGGUCUAAAUCUCUGUAAAAACGCAUUCUUUACAUCAAGUUGUCAUAGUCUCCAACCUUUAAACGCAGCAAGCGAAAUAAUCGAUCUCACUGUCACCAUCUUUGCUACUGGGCUGAACGUCUCCUCGUAGUCCAAUCCAUAAUUUUGAGAAAAACCACGAGCCACCAGACGAGCUUUAAAUCUACCAAUGGUGCCAUCUAAUUUUUUCUUCACGCGAAAAACCCAUUUACAAGUGAUCAGCUUACAAUUUUCUGGUUUAGGAACCAACUCCCAUGUCUCAUUUUUGUCUAAAGCUUCAUUUCUUCUUCCAUGGCUGCCUCCCAUUUUGAAUGGCCUUUGGCUUCUUCAUAACUUACUGGUUCUUCAUCAGAAGCUCCAACAAAGAAACAAGAAGUGAUACUACAAUGAUUAAGCUGCACCUCAUAGUCUCUGAGAUACUCAGGUUGUCUCGUUUCUCUGGUAGACCUCCUCACUCUCUGUUACUCACCACCCUCAUGCCGUUGAACAUUCUGACUUGGAGUUUGUGUUGGAGAUUCAUUUUCCAACUCAUCAUUAGUGAAUGGUUGCAAAUUAACUCUUGGAAAUAGCUCAUCCAAGUUUUCAUCAUCACCUUCAAGAACAAUAUUUUCUGUAGCAAAUCUUUGAGUGGAGUAGAAAGAUGAUACUUCAUCGAACACGACAUCUCUCGAAGUAGUAAACUUUUUCGUAUCCGGAUCCAUACACCUCCAUCCCUUUCUGUAAGAAUCAUAGCCAACAAAUACACACUUCUUUGCUUUCGGAUCAAGUUUAGUUCUUUUCGAUUUCGGAACAUGUACAUAACAAAUAGAACCAAAGACUCGAAAAUAAUUCACAUUUGGCUUUUCACCAUAUAAAAUCUCAAAAGGAGAUUUCUGUGUACCUGGCCAAUGAGGCAGCCUAUUUGUCACAUGACAUGCACAAAGAACAGCUUCCGCCCAAAGCUCUCGAGGAAGAUUCUUGUCAUGCAGCCAUGAAAGGCAAAUCGAAGCAAGAUAACCAAGCUUUCUUUCUGCAACUCCAUUCUGCUGUGGAGUAUCUGGACAAGUCAUUUGACGACAGAUGUCAUUGUCAUCACAAUACUGAAAAAAAUCAUUGGACAUGUAUUCUCUGCCAUUGUCACUUCGAAGACACUUAAUCUUCUUUCUAAACUCUUUUUCAACCGCAGCUUUGAACUCCACAAACUUGGAUAAUGCUUCACUCUUCUCUUUCAAAAAUUUCACCCAAGCAAACCUUGAGUAAUCAUCCACCAAAACCAUGACAUAACAGUGGCCGCUACAACUCAAUGUUCUCGUUGGUCCCGUCAAGUCCGUAUGAACCAAUUCGAGCAAAGAAGAUCUCUGAUUUGAUGAGCUUUUGAAAGGAAGACGAUGAGAUUUACCAUAUUGACAGCCUUGACAAAUCACAUCUUCACGUACACUCUUUAAGAUCGGCAUCCCAUCUAACAACCUUUUCGAAGAAAUUUGUUACAGCAUUUGGUACCCCACAUGACCCAAUCAAGCAUGCUAAAUAGCGGCGUUAUCGGUUUGGCUUUUUUUCUUCACAUAAGCUUCACAUGCCGACAUAACGAACAACGAGCCUCUCUUUUCACCAGAAAACACAACAUCAGGAGAAAUUUCUUUCACAUUAUCAAGAACCUUCACAUCUUUAUGGCCAAACAAGACAUAUUUUCCAGAAUCAGUAAUUUGAGAAACUGAAACUAAAUUUUUCGUCAAACCUGGAACAUGAUACACAUCAGUCAAUUUGACACUUUCGGUUCUCAUAUCGUCGGCAACAUCGAUCCCCACAACGCCCUCUUUUGCUACCGGAUGAGUGGAGUUAUCCGCAGUCACAAUAACUUGAUCUCCAUGAUGUUCAUGCAUCUCCGAGAACAAAGUAUCAUUUUCGGUUACAUGGUGAGAACAACCAGAAUCAAUGAUCCACUCCUCCUUCUUGUUAUCAGCAUAAUUGACAAAAGCUUUUGAUGACUUUUGUUCAAUAGCUUCAACAGUAAAACAAUGCUCCCAUUUGAGUCGAUCAUCGGUUUCUUCCGUGGACUCGACAUUGGCCUUGGAAAUCUUCACACGGUAAUUUCUCUUGAUAUGUCCAGUCUUUUCGCAUCUGAAGCAUUUGAAAGACUUUUUUCUUUGCGAGUUGCCAUCUUUUUCCGAACUAGAGUCUUCAGAUCUGCCUUUAUUUCCAAACUCAUUCUUCUUGCUUGGCUUCCCUUUUGAGAAGAGAACGACAUCAGAUUCGAAACUUUUCGCCAUCUGCUUUGCCAAAGCUUCUUGAUUAGAGAACAAAUUCUCUAACUCCUCCAUCGAAGGCUGUGUCGACCACCCUUGAAUAGAAGUGACAAAAUGCCCAUACUCCUUCUUCAAACCGCGGACAAGAUAACGAUGCAAACGAGCUUCACUAACUUUCUCAUCCGUAUCUGAAAUUUCAGCACAAAUAUUUUUAACUCGUAAAAAAUAUUUUGAAAUUGACAUACCUCCUUGUUUUAACUCGGCCAAUUCGUUCUCCAACAAUUGCAACCUUGCGGUAUUCUUCUUGGUAAACAACCUUUCGAGCGUUUCCCAAACUUCUUUUGGAGAGUUAACAUCACGAACAUGAUCAAUGAACUCUUUGCUAAUAGAAGUCCUCAAAGCAAAGAGAGCUUUACCGCACUUGACCUUACACCUCCUUCGUGACUCGACAUUCUCGGGAAUAUCGGGAGGGAUUGUUGCAUCAACGUCAACAACCAAUCCCCACAAGUCCUGGCCUUGAAGAAAUGCCUCCAUACACAUCCUCCAAUACUUGUAGUUAGUGCCUACAAGCUUCUCCAUACCAAUCUGAUUAUUUCCUCCAUUUGAAACCUCCAUUGCAGCAACUAGCAAAACACCCUUUCACACAAUUAACCAAUGAAUAACCUGGCUCUGAUACCAUAAAACAAAAGGGAAUGACCGAGGUGAUGAAAGAAAUAAUAACAAGAAAAGCUCAAAGUAUUGAAGAACGUUUUUGAUUAAAGAAAAACACAAAAUUACAUUAGAUAAAAUGACAUAUAAAUAGUUUAACUACAUGUAACGUUAAAGCUAAAAAACCUGCAACUAACAAAACAUAAUCUGAUCAUAUCCCUAUAAAAUAGGAACCAACUUAUUUGAUAAAGAAAACAAGUAAAUUAAAAAAUCCAGUAAGAUGCACUAAUUUUUAACAUACCUUUGGAUCAUUUUAAGAUUCUAGACAAGUAGAGAAAAAAAACGAGCUUUUAACUCGAAUAAGAGAAAAUAAUUUUGAUACCUAAACUUUAAUUCUAUUUAUUAUUAAACUUUAAUUCUAUUUAUUAUUGCCAUAUAUCCUUCUAAUGGAGUUAAAAUCUUACCAAUUGUGGGACUAUUAGUUAGAAAAUUUUUAAUCAAAGUCAAGGGAUUUGAAAAUAAUUAUACCAAAAUUUAUUUUAAAAGCCUAAAUGAAAAAUAUUAAGACCAACCCAAGCCCGGCACAAUUUAGCCCAUCAACACAUCUACCCUAAACUUAAACUUUGCCCUCACACUACCCAAUUCAAUCUAGGCUUAAUAUAAAAUUGCCCCCUAAAUUAUAUUCAUUUUCUCAAAUAGGUAUCUUACCUUUUUUUUUUGUCAAAUUGAGUACUUAAAGUAAUUUUUCGCCGCAUUGGUACCCUGUUAGAUCUCCCUUAGUCAGCCAUUAGUAAACAUUGUUCAAUGUUCAAUGAUGAUGCGGCCCAAUCACUAAUAAGCACGUGGCAAAAAAAAGCCACAUAAGUAAACCAUCUCAUUCUUUGUAUAAAAUAAUUCCAAAAAUUAAAAAAUUUAGAAAAAUUAAAACUAUUUUUUGAUUUUAUAUUAAUAUUAAUUCAAAAUAAUAUUAAGAAAUACUUUCACACCCUGUUCCUCUCCCACGGUCCCCCACCAUCCUCACCCAACCCUCUCCCUCUGCUAACCCUUCAAUUAUAUUUUCAUAUAAAAAAAAGUUCCUCCUUUCUUUCUUCAACAUUGAUUCUUUGUCUCACAAUUCCCUUCAAAUCCAUCCACCACAUGUUUGGGAAAAUGACCCUCAAAAAAAUAAAUUUUGAGCUUGAAAUUGGUGUUUUCCUUUUCACGGACUGAAUUAGCUUCUCUAGGAACAUACAGAAUCCAUCACUGCCCUUCAAAUUCUAAAAUUCGUUUAACUCUCCUAAGCAUAGUAACUCCUAAGUCGUCCCCCCACUCUCUUGUAGGGAUUUGACCACCUCCGGAUUAUCAAUUUGAACUAUUCUUUAUUUUAUGUCUAACUAUUGUAAAACAUAUAUAAUAAAUAAGUAUUUUUCUCUUGUUCUUACACUAAUAAUCAAACGAAACAUUAGUAUUAUUUUAUCCCACAUCACUUAGAUAGGUGUUUUGAACUUUGUUUAACUAUUAUUUAACACUUCCAUUGGGGAAAAUACAAUCAAUGUUCCAAACCCUAAUUUGAUUUUGAUGUCAACAUCUCUCUACGAUGCUUCAACAAACCUAACAUCUUAUCAGUAUCAGGCAAGUUGUCUUUGAUUACAGGGACUAAUUUAAAAUUUUGGAUCCACGAGCUCACUCGAGGGAACUUGUGUCUUCUAUAAGCCCGAGCCAGUGAGCAACCAUGCAAAAUGCAAUGUCCACCAUGCUUAUCUCGUCUCUGCCACAAAAUUUUUUCCCUCCAAUUAGUGCAUGUUUUUCAAUGGCUUCCAGCAUUUCCAACCACUCCUUCACUACCGCCUUUUGUUCUUCACCUUCGGUUCAGUAAAGCUUUGAGAGUAAAUGACUCUAUUUUAAGCAGAGAUUCUAGUAUCGGCCAUCAAAAGUUAUUUGCCAUAGAAAAAUCCAAACUACAAAGUGCUAAAAUCUCAAUUUCAACUAGGUUAAAAUAUGCUACAAGUCUUUGUAUUCUUUGUAUGUUUGCAAUUCAGUCCUCCUAUUUUUUGUUUCAAGAAAUUUAAUCCCCCUACUGCUAAAGUUAAAAAGGGUUAAAUCACUUUAGGAGGCUAAAACUUAGUAACUACUCCCACACUGGGGCCUGAACAUUUUUUUUGUUCAAAUUAGUUCUUGAACUUGGCGACUAUUCUCACGGUAUAGCCUGAACUAUUUUUUGUUUAAAUCCCUGAACUUGACAAUUAUUCCGACAUUGAAGCUUGGAUUUUUUUUUUUUUUGGUCCAAGUUAAACAUUGUUUGAUAAACCAUUGAAAAAAAUUGAUUAAUUGAAAAUUAAUAUUUUCAAUGAUUAGUAUUUUACACAUGUUUGAUACUCCAAUAGAAGUUUUUCUAUAAAAAAAAGUGUGGAAUAUGAUGAGUAAAUAAAAUCUAAUUAUAACUUCAUGGAAAAUAUUUUCAAUGAACUCAAUUUUAUUUUAUUUAUUUUAUUAUUAAGUUAUCUUAUAAAAACUUAAUGUUUAAAAACUUGAUUUUGGUUUAGAAUAAAGUAAAAUGUUUAAAAAUUAAUGAAAAAUGUAAACUAUAAUUUUAUAUAAUUCAAAUUCUAUAUUUAUAAAAAAAAUCUAAUUAUAUUUUGUAAUUAAUUUUAAUUAAUGUAUCAAACAAAUUUUAUAACUUAAAUUUGGCACUUAAAAUUUCAAUAUUAACCCUUAUUUUUUCAGUACUUAAUUUUCCAAUUUAUCAAACAACACCUUAAUCCUUAAUAUUUUCUUAAACACCCUAAUGUUCAAGCUCUUACGUGGGAACAAUUACCUAGUUCAAGCACUAACAAGAGAACAAUUACCAAGUUUAAGGAUUAACUUGAACAAAAAAAAGUCCAUACCCCAAUGUAGGAACAAUUACCUAGUUCAAGCCUUAACAUGUGAACAAUUGCCAAGUUUAUGGAUUAAUUUGGACAAAAAAAAAGUUCAAACUCUAAUGUGAGAAUUGUUGAUGUGAGAAUUGUUGUCAAGUUCAGGCCUCAAACUAUGAUUUAACCCAUUUAAAAAUGUAAAUAUAAUUGUAAUCGUAAUUAAUUGUUUAUGCUAAAUUCAAGUUCAUAACUCUUUUUUUUUUUUGUUAUAUGACUAUCAAAUGAGUAACUUUUUUUAAUUUCAAAAUAUCGCACCAACAAAUUUAACAAAAAAAUUAACCGUGUUAAUAAUUAAAUAUAAAUUUUGAUAUAUAAAAAGUAGAGAGAUUAAAUUCUUGAAAAUAAAAGUAGGUGAACUAAAUUCUAAAUAUAUGAAGAAUAUGGGACUUAGAGUGUAUUUUAACUUUUCAACUAUCAUUAAAUAUUUAAUACUAGAUUAUAAUAAAUAAAAGACACCUACUUCAUGAAUGAAAUUAUUAUAAUGUUAUUUUUAUCUUUUUAUAUUUUUAUUAUGAUGUAGAAUUUUUUUAUUGAUACGAAAUUUAUUAUUAAUUGAAUAUAGUUUAUUUGAGUUGGUGGAUGACACCAACUCGAUAAAAAGCUUAAUAAAUAAUUAGAAAUUCUAUCACAUACAUAUGCGUGUGAAAACCACAAAUUUCAAACACUAAUGUAUGUUUAAAAAAUAUCAUACAAUAAAUAAUGAAACAUAUGGUUUAAAGCUAAUUAAUAAUAGCAUAUGAAAUAUAUAUGAUGUUAAAAUGAAAACUAGAUUAAAAUUGUCUAUCAUUUUGUUGUCCUCAAUCUUGAGUCAAUGUACUUGUGACAUCAACUCAGUUAAGGGUUUUAUUAUUAACUAUAUAUAUACAACCGGUGGAGGUAAUAAAUCGUGCAUAAUAAAAUAAAAAUGUAUAAAAAUAUUAAAAUAAAACUUUAGUUGGAUGGUAACUUAAAAACUUUAAUAAUGCAAUUGGCAUGGGUUUGAUUCCUACCAUGUACAUUUUUUUUAAUGAAAAGAUUAAAAUACCCUCUAAUAAUAUUACUUAUUUUAAUUACGUUAAAGCCUUCCUGUAAUUUCCUAACCGAGUUGGUGCCCAAUUGACUUGUGACACCAACUUAAUCAGGUGCUUUAUUAAUACUAGAAAUCCUAUCACACACGUAUGCAUGUGGAAACCGCAAAUUUAGAAUACAAAUGUGUAUUUAAAAAUAACAUAUAAUAAAUAAUAAAAUGUAUAAGUGGACACAAAUAAUAAUAAUAACACGUAAAAUAUGCAAGAUAUUAAAAUAAAAAAAAGAUUAAAAUUGUUUAUCGUGAUAUUGUAAUCAAUCUUGAGUCAGUGUCGAGUUCAAUCAAAUACAUUAAUAUAUAUACUAGAAAUCCUAUCUCUAUAUAUAAUUGAUUGGGGUAAUAAAGCAUGCAUAAUAAAAAUUGAAAUGUACAAAACUAUUAAAAUAGUACUUUAAUUGAGUGAUAAAUUAAAAAUUUUUCUAACCCAAUUUACUCGUUUUCAAUUCCCACCAUAUGUAUUUUUUAUUGAUUUUUUUAAAAUAAAAAGAGAAACAUAAUAUAAAGAAUAUAAAUAUGAAAUUCUUUGUAACUUGUUAAAGAAAUUUCGGAUCAACGUAAUGAUAAAAUAAUGAUAAUAACAGAUUCAACCCCUAUACUUUAUCAAUAUAUCUAAUAUGGUAUCUUUACUUUUAAAAUAUAUUGCCAUAUAUCCUUCUAAUGGAGUUAAAAUCUUACAUCGCUUUGAAUGCAACCAAUUGUAUGCUGCCAUGUGGCACUAUUAGUUUGAAAAAUUUUAAUCAGAGUCAAGGGAUUUGAAAAUAGUUAUUCCAAAAAUUGUUUUAAAGGCAAAAAGAAGAAGAAAAACAUUAAGACCAACUCGAGCCCGGCAAAAUUUAGCUUUCAGAGAGAUGGCUGAGUGGUUGAUAGCUCCGGUUUUGAAAAUCGGUAUAGUUCGAAACAUAGAAUUAUCGAAGGUUUGAAUUCCUCUCUCUCCUUUGCUCGAUGAAUAGGUUUGUAAUUAAUUGGAUUUGGCCACAGCUGUACUGAGAUCGAUUCCACUAAAAAUUGAUGAUUUAAUUGGUUUAAUUGCCAAUUCGAUUGAUAUAAUAUUAAUCCAAAAUAGUCAAUAAAAUAUUUUUAUUCUAGGAUAAACAUACAUUUUGAUAUUUGAACUUGAUUUCAAGGUCCAAAUUGGUACUUAAAGUUUAGGGUUUAAAUAGGAAGAUAAUACACUUCAACACACUCAAACCCACGAGAUUUUAGACUCUUAAAAAUUAACAAUUCAAUUUAAUUUAGUUCUUUAACCUAAAACUAUGAAGUUUGGCUCUCAAUAAUUUAUAUUUUAUGCUAAUCAUUUUUAUUAAAAUAUUUUAAUUUUGAUUUUGUUUCGAACUGAGCAAUCGAUCAAUUCAAUCCAAUCCAAAGAUUUAACAAACUCUUUUACGAAUCAAAAUAGAACCAAAUUCUCUAUAAAACCAACAAAAUCAAAUUAAUUAUGAAUAAUUUACUUCUCUACAUAUGAUUGAAUUACUAAAUAAUAUUGGCAAAAAAUACUAAAUAAUUUUUUUUGUAAAUAUAAUUUUAAUAUUAAUUUUUUCUUUCACUCAUGGAUAUGACAAAAUUCGCUAUUUGAAAUUGAAAGCUGAUUAAUUUGAUUUUGGAUUUCCAAAAUGAAAACCAAUUUACCGGACCUACAAUAUACUCGACAAAACUAAAAUUUACCCGUUGAAUUGCUUUAGUCAGUUUGAUCCGACUAUUGCACACCCUUAAUUUUGCUCCCUCAAUGUAUGUAUACUUGUUAACAUCGGGACUGGUAUCAUUGGAAUGAAACGUGGAGAGCAAGCAACGAAAUUUUCCGAAGAAAAGUGUCCUCUCCUACUUCCUUCUUCCUCAUACUUUCUUCUGCUGUUUCUUUCUUCUUUCUUUCUUUAUUUGCUAAAUUAUAUCUAUAUCCAUGCUUAAAAUUUUGAAAAUUGGGCAAAGCAUCAAUAUAUUCCUUUCUUUAUGAAGACCAAAACCAACACCCAAGAAAAGAAUCUACUAACCAUGAGGUCUGGAAAAAUUUGAUGAAGCAAUUUCAUUUUUGUUCUUCUUCUUCUAAAUAAUUUCACAGUAUCUGAGAGUUGGAAAGAAAGAGAGAUGGAAAUUCAACAUUUCAGCCACCACCAUCCUUUGGUCUUCAUCCAAGCUCACAGUGUUGCAGCUCUUUGCCUUGUGUGUGAGAAACCUGUAGAGGGCUGGAGCUAUGGCUGCAAUCAAUGUGAGUUUUAUCUUCACAAGGGAUGUGCCGAGUUAGAGUUAGCCCCCAAGAUUCAGCAUCCCUUCCACCCCAAACACCCUCUCACUCUUCUUCCAAAAUCACCUUAUUCUGAGUUAGGAAUUUGUAAUUUUUGUCGUAAGAAAUUUGGGGGAUUUGUUUAUGAUUGUAAUGAUUGUAGUUUCGAUCUGCACAUCAAUUGUGCUUUGCUUCAAUCAUCCAUUGCUGCAAAUUUUCCUAAUUCUUUGCACCCCCAUCCUUUGUUAUUCAUUCAAAAUCAUAACAACGAAGUCAAGUCUCAUUGCUCCGGAUGUCAGAAACCAAUAUCUGGUCAAAUUUACCACUGUUCAGAUUGCACAUAUCCUUAUUUUAACCUUCAUAAGGAAUGUGCUGAACUACCCCUUGAGAUUAAUCACCCCUACGAUCGUAGGCAUCCUCUUACUCUCUUGCCACAACCGCCUACUCAUCCCCCUAAAUGUAGUUGCUAUUUGUGCAGAAUCCAAUGGAAGGGAUUUGUUUAUUCCUGCUCUCUAUGCAACUUUGAUCUUUCACUGGAUGAUUUUCUUUUUUCAUCACCAACAAUCACAGUUGCAAGUCAUGAACACCCGUGGAUGCUUGUAUCUAGAAAAAUGUCGUUUGUUUGUGAUUUUUGUGGCACUGACGGAGAUCACACCCCCUAUUUCAGUGCUAUAUGUCACCUCCUUGUCCACAAGAAUUGCAUUUCAUUGCCACGCCACAUCAUGAUAACACGACAUCGUCACACGAUUUCUCUUUCCUAUUCUCUUCGACAAAAUCAAGUUGAGGAUUGGAUGUGCAAAAUUUGUUACGAGGAAGUUGAUAUAAGAUAUGGCAAUUACCGUUGUCCUGCUUCUCGUUGCCGUUAUAUUGCUCAUGUACGUUGUGCAACUGAUAAAGCAAUUUGGGAUGGAACAAUUAUGCCAGAAGGCUAUGAUGAGAGGUCCGAGGAAGUGGUGGAUGAACCUUGGAAUUUGAUUACUGAUGUUGUUGAACAAAUUCGUAUUGGAGAGCUAAUGGUUGCAAGUGAGAUCAAGCAUUCCUAUCAUGAUCAUAAUUUAAGACUCACUUUUAGUGGGAAGACCAAAGAUGAUGAUAGUCACUGCGAUGGGUGCACGAGACCUAUAUCAACUCCUUUUUAUAGUUGUGAGCAAUGCAGGUUCUUUCUCCACAAAGAUUGUGCUGAAUUGCCUAAAGAAAUGCCACACCCAUUUCACAAGCAUUUGCUUACUCUCUCAAACUCACACGAUGAGUAUGGCUAUUCAUACUGCGUUGCUUGCCGUCGUCGGUAUCAAGGAUUUGGGUACAGAUGCUACAAAAGAGAUUGCAGGUUCGGAAUUGACAUUCAAUGUAUGUUAUUGUCGGACACCUUGAAGCACCCAAGUCAUGAGCAUUCACUCGUUCUUGUCCACAACAACGAGGGAACGAGUUGCAGUGCUUGUUUCAGUUAUUUACUAUCAAUGGAUGUUGCAUAUAGAUGCAUGAAGCGCUGUGAUUUCAGUUUAGAUGUAGGUUGUGCAUCACUACCACUCACUGCUUGGUACAAGUAUGACAGGCAUGCUCUUACUUUAACUUUUUCUGAUGAUUCUGAGCCUUCUCAACUUUACUGCGAUCUCUGCGAAAAAGAAAGAGAGCCAAAUCGUUGGUUUUACUACUGUGCUGAUUGUGAUAACUCUCUUCAUCUCAAUUGUGCUAUCGGAGAUCUCCCAUAUAUGAAGCUUGGGAACAAAUUCAAAACUGCUUGGCAUAAACAUCCAUUCACUGUUGUGAAAAACAUCUGGAAUUGCCCUCCAUGUAAGGAAUGUGGUGAGGUUUGCAAUGGGCAGGCCUUAGAAUGUAAAGAAUCUGAAUGCAAUUUUACCGUCCAUUGGAAUUGCCUUUGGGAUCUCCGGGAAUGAUAUACCACUCAAGUUGAAGAAACAGAGAAGCUGCAACAUCAUAGGUGUGUGGUGUUGUGUGGAAGGGUGUAGGAGAUUUGGUAAAAAUGGGUGAUGGCCUUAGUUGUUGUAAUCUGCAUUAUGUGAUGUUAAUGGUGGUUGUUUGAGCAGUAGAAGGUUGUGUUAGAUGAAACAUGGUUUGUAACCACACAUCUGUAUCUUUCACUUUUCUAUUUGCUUAUUAUGCAUUCAACUUGUAUCUAAAAUUAGUGAUGAGAAGGAAGAAAUGGUUUUUAGGUUGUGAUAAUAAAAUAUUUUUAAUAUGAGAAGUAUGAAAAUACGAAAAUAAUGUUGAGUUUGGAAAUUUAAAAACAAAAUCAUUCUUCCCUUCAUAACUGCAUACAAAAUUGUGUAAAAUAAGUAGGGGGGAGACCAUCGACAGCCACUCACUGUUGUGAAAAACAUCUGGAAUUGCCCUCCAUGUGAGGAAUGUCGUGAGCUUUGCAACGGACAGGCCCUAGAAUGCAAAGAAUCUGGAUGCAACUUUACCAUACACUGGGAUUGUUGUUGGUAUUAGACCUUCUAGGACUCUGGUGAACCAUUUCAAUGAUACUCCACUCAAGACUACCAGACAGAGAAGUCGCAACUUCACAUGUCUGUUCUGUCCAUCUGCAUGCACGUACCAGAUUUGCCAACAAGGGCUCAUGUCCGUUUGUUUUUCUUAAUUGCUUUUUAUUAUGUUAUUGUUGUCUAAGAACUUCAACCUUGUAUAAAUCAAACAUGAUUUGAGGCUAGUCAUGAGAAUUCUUUUAGGUUAAAUAUACAUUUUGGUACCUAAACUUGGCUCUAAGGUUCACAUUGGUACCUGAACUUGACGUUUCGGUUCAAAUUGGCUUUUUAUUCCAAAUUAGUACUUGAGUUAGAUGACAUAUUUGAACUAUGAAGUCAAGUUCGGUACUAAUUUGAACCAAAAUGACAAAUUCAAAUACCUAAUUGAACAAAAAAAAUUUAAGUACCAAACUGAACCUUGAGGUUAAGUAUUAAUCAUUUAAGUUUUUUAAUCAUUCGAAUAAAUGGAAAAAUAGUAAUUUUGGCCCUUCAUGAAAAUUAAUCAUAUAAUUUAAGCUCUUUUAGAAUAAAACUUUUAACUUCGGUCUCAAAAUUUUAAAAUUUUAUCUUAGCCGCCUGCAAGGUUUUUGGCUUCGUCACUAUAAGAGACUAAAUCACAAGAAAAUGAGCAAAUCCUGAAGGGGCAGGUAGGGGACUGUCAGUCUGUCACCCAAUUUGAGUUUUCAUAUAAAUAAUGAUAUUAUAAAUUAAUAUAUAGUAAAAUUCUAUUUUAGUCCUUUAAAAUAAAAGCAGUUCUAUUUAAUCCCUUUAAAUAUGAUAAAUUACAUUUUAACCUUUCAAAAAUUUAUAAUUUAAUUUAGAUCCAAGGGAAGGAGGUUCUAUUGGUUGAGCUCAUCCACCACACUAAACAUUAAUUAUUGGCAAAAAGAAACUGUUACAAACUUACAAUGCAUGAUGGAGAAAACAUAGAAAUGUACGAAAAGAAAAUCCCAGUCCUUUGGCAUUAUUUCUCAAUAUCAAGAGUACUUAAUUUUUUAGUGAUUAUGUUGAGAUUUCCAAUAAAGUUCCCUUCUUUUUUCCAAGAAAUCCACAAUUCUAGUGUAAUCGGGGACAUUGUCUUUGAUCACAGGGUGUUCGCUGAAAUGCCUGACCCAGGCAUGCAGGCGUGGGAAGCUAUCGGCUUUAAUGAACUUUACUCCCCCCACCACCUCUUCCAUGGGUGCCAACAUAUGAAUAACCAUUCCAAAAACAAGGUCAGCUACGCCAAUUUGGUCGCCGCCAAAGAACUUUUUAUCUCCAAGACCAUGUUCCUCAAUCGUCCUCAGAAUUUCGUAGUUGUCCUUGAUUGCCUUCUGCUGUUCUUCGCCAUGUUUAGCAAAGAAUUCCCACAUUGGUUGAGUCUGCAAACUUAUAUUAAUAAGGUUAGGAUCAAACAUUACUGGUCUGCAAGUGGUUUGAGACUAGAUCCCCAGCUUGGAGGGAGGGGUGAAAUUGGUUUUAAAAUGGAUUAAUUUGAGUUAAAUUUUUUUUUUAUCAUUUUGGGUUCGAAUUUUUUACGGUCUAACUCGUUUUUAAGUUUGGAUUGGGCAAGUUUUGAUCAGUCAAUCCUGGAUUUGGCUUCACUCUAUUACUUUUAAUCUAUUAAUAUCCAAUGCAUGUCUAAUGAUCAUUCACUAAUUAAUAUUUACAUUUAAUAGAUGGUCCUACACAUUUGAAUGGUGAUGAUAAUUAUAUUGGAUAUUAUUAAUGGAAGAAAAAGUAAUGGAGUAGAUCUUGACCCGUUAAUUCUAACCCAAACUUAAAAAAUUAACCCAAUUAUAUUGAAUCCGAACAAAAAAUGACUUAUAUCCAAAACGAUUUAGAAUGAUCUAAAUCCAAAAUGAUCUGAUCAAGUACCUUGAAUUGACUUGAACUCAAGAUGACUUAAGCAGGAAAAAAAAAACUAACUAGUAAAUUGGAAAUAUUCGAACCGAAAAUAACCCAAACAUCACAAACUCAAAACUGAUUUAAACUUGAAAUGACUCGGGCCCAAAACAACCCAAAGUUUUAAAAACUAAAUUGGAAUUAUUAAUCGAGCGAGUCUUAGUUCAAUCGACACAAUUACUAUUGCAAUAACUAGAAAGGCGUGGGUUUGAGUUUAAAGAUAAGGAGAGAUUAUAAAUAAAAAUACAUGAGUUUGAAAUAUUGACUUAUGAUUAUCAAAUCAGACAAAUUAAUUGAAUUGAACUUCCAGACUCGAAUCAAAAUUCACAAGAGAACAAAUUUGGGAAGAAAAAGUAGAUUAAAAAAAUGAGGAAGCAUAUGACAAAUGUUGAACAAAAUCAAGAUAACACGUACGUUUUCCUGAAUGAAUUUGGCCCAAAAUCUAGCUACGGAUCUCUCGUAAGCAUCUUUUGGCAACAAAGGAUUAUGUGGCCACACUUCAUCUAUAUAUUCCAAAAUAACCAAUGACUCUACAAUUGGCUUUCCUCCAUGAACGAGCACUGGGAUCUUUUUAUGAACUGGGUUGUACUGCAACAACAGAUCACUCUUAUUAUAAGGCAGAUCUUCUUCAAUGUAUUCAUAUUCCACACCUUUUAGCUUUAAUGCCCAAAUGACCCUUCUACUAAAAGGACUUGCCCAAAACCCAAAGAGCUUCACUUCAUCCAUGGUCUAGUGUUUUGGUCUCUGUUUUGUGAAGUAAACUAGGGGCCAUUAUAUAAUUGUUUUGGGUGGGGGGAUUUGGACUGUUCUUGGUCAGCCUAAAUACAAUCGUCAUGGAUGAUGUAUCGCAAUUACUAAUACUAUGGCUUGCUGCAAAUUAUAUUUUGCCAGAUUCUCCAGUUAAAUUAUGCAUAUAUGCCGGUUUUUUUAAUUAGUUAAAUAGGUCGUUUUUUUCAAGAUUUAAGGAAAUAGGUUAAUUUUGAUGAGAUUGUAUGAAAGUACUUGAUGAGAUUGUAUGAAAAUGCGUCCAGUUGUACGUGCUUUUGCUGACACGUCAGAAAAACGUGCCAGUUAAAAGGUUUUCUAAAAAUUCCAAAGAAAGCUCGUCCAGCUUCCUGGCAACUGUGCAGCUGGACACGUAUUUCAUACUCUCUCUCCAAAAUCGGUCGAGUUUCUUAAAUCUUCAAAAAUUUUGGUACCGAAGGUUUAUUUUGGUUCAAUUACGUACUUGAACUUGACGUCUUGGUUCAAAUUAGCUUUUUAGUCUAAAUUAGUACUUGAGUUAGAUGACGUAUUUGAACCAAUUUGAACUACGAAGUCAAGUUCGGUGCUAAUUUGAACCAAAAUGGAAAGUUUAAAUACCUAAUUGAGCAAAAAAAAAUUAAGUACUAAAUUGAACCUUGAGGUUAAACAUUAAUCAAUUUUAAGUUUUUUAAUCAUUCGAAUAAAUGGAAAAAUUGUAAUUUUAGCCCUUCGUGAAAAUUAAUCAUAUAAUUUAAGCUCUUUUAGAAUAGAACUUUUAACUUCAGUCUCAAAAUUUUAAAAUUUUAUCUUAGCCCCCGCAAAGUUUUUGGCUUCGUCACUAUAGGGGACUGUCACCCAAAUAUGAGUUUUCAUAUAAAUGAUGAUAUUAUAAAUUAAUAUAUAGUAAAAAUUCUAUUUUAAUCCUUUAAAAUGAAAACAAUUCUAUUUAAUCCCUUUAAAUAUGAUAAAUUACAUUUUAACCUUUCAAAAUUUUAUAAUUUAAUUUAGAUCCAAUCCAAGGGAAGGAGGUUGUAUUGGCUGAGCUCAUCCACCACACCAAACAUUAAUUAUUGGCAAAAAGAAAUUGUUACAAACUUACAAUGCAUGGAGAAAACAUAGAAAUGUACGAAAAGAAAAUCCCAAUCCUUUUGCAUUAUUUCUCAAUAUCAAGAGUACUUAAUUUUUUCUAGUGAUUAUGUUGAGAUUUCCUAUAAAGUUCUCUUCUUUUUUUCAAGAAAUCCACAACUCUAUUGUAAUCGGGGACAUUGUCUUUGAUCACAGGGCGUUCGCUGAAAUGCCUGACCCAGGCAUGCAGGCGUGGGAAGCUAUCGGCUUUAAUGAACUUUACUCGCCCCACCACCUCUUCCAUGGGUGCCAACAUAUGAAUAACCAUUCCAAAAACAAGGUCAGCGACGCCAAUUUGGUCGCCACCGAAGAACUUUUUUGUCUCUAAGACCAUGUUCCUCUCGUCCUCAGAAUUUCAUAGUUGUUCUCGAUUGCCUUCUGCUGUUCUUCACCGAAUUUACGAAAGAAUUCCCACAUUGGUUGAGUCUGCAACCUUAUAUUAAUAAGGUUAGGAUCAAAUAUUACUGGUCUGCUAGUGGUUUGAGACUAGAUCCCUAGAUUCGAGGGGGUGAAAUUGGCUUUAAAAUGGAUUAAUUCGAGUUUUAAAUUUUUUUUAUCAUUUUGGAUUACUUGUUUUGGCCAUUUUGGGUUCGAUUUUAUACACCAAACAAAACAUUAAUUAUUGGCAAAAAAAAAUUUUUUUAUUGUUACAAACAUACAAUGCAUAAAAAAAAAGUAAAAAUGCUACAAGAAAAAGAACAAUCAAUCCUUUUGCAUUAUUUCCCAAUUUUUAGUUCUUAAACGAUCAAAAGUACCUUCUUUCUUUCUUUUUUCUAGCUAUUCUGUUGAGAAUUCCUACAAAAUUCUCUUCUUAUCUUCAAGAAAUCAACAACUUUAGUGUAAUCAGGGACAUUGUCUUUGAUCACAGGGUGUUCGCUGAAAUGCUUGGCCCAAGCAUGCAGGCGUGGGAAGCUAUCGGCUUUAAUAAACUUAUAUCCCACCACCUCUUCCAUAGGCGCCAACAUAUGAAUAAUCAUUCCAAAAACAAGAUCAGCUAUGCCAAUUUGGUCGCCACCAAAGAACUUUUUGUCUCCAAGACCAUGUUCCUCAAUCGUCCUCAGAAUUUCAUAGUUGUUCUCGAUUGCCUUCUGCUGUUCUUCGCCGAAUUUACGAAAAAAUUCCCACAUUGGUUGAGUCUGCAAACUUAAGGUUAGGAUCAAAUAUUACUGGUCUACAAGUGGUUUCAGACUAGAUCCCCAGAUUGGAGGGGUGAAAUUGGUUUUGAAAUGGAUUAAUUCGAAUUUUAAAAUUUUUUACAUUUUGAAUUACUUGUUUUGGUCAUUUUGGGUUAGAUUUUUUGAUGGUGUAGCUUGUUUUUAAGUUUGGAUUGGGCAAGUUUUGAUCAGUCAAUCCUGGAUUUGACUUCAGUCCAUUACUUUUUAAUCUAUUAAUAUCCAAUGCAUGUCUAAUGAUCAUUCUCUAAUUAAUAUUCACAUUUAAAUGGUCCUACAUAUUUAAAUGGUGAUGAUAAUUGUAUUGGAUAUUAUUAAUGAAAAAAAGGAGUAAUGGGGUCGAUGUUAAUCCGUUGAUUCUAACACAAACUCAAAAAAUCAACCCAAUUCUAGCUACGGAUCUCUCGUAAGCAUCUUUUGGCAACAAAGGAUUAUGUGGCCACACUUCAUCUAUAUAUUCCAAAAUAACCAAUGACUCUGCAAUUGGCUUUCCUCCAUGAACCAGCACUGGGAUCUUUUUAUGAACUGGGUUGUACUGCAACAACAGAUCACUCUUAUUAUAAGGCAGAUCUUCUUCAAUGUAUUCAUAUUCCACACCUUUUAGCUUUAAUGCCCAAAUGACCCUUCUACUAAAAGGACUUGCCCAAAACCCAAAGAGCUUCACUUCAUCCAUGGUGUAGUGUUUUGGUAUCUGUUUUGUGAAGUAAACUAGGGGCCAUUAUAUAAUUGUUUUAGGUGGGGGGAUUUGGACUGUUCUUGGUCAGCCUAAAUACAAUCGUCAUGGAUGAUGUAUCGCAAUUACUAAUACUAUGGCUUGCUGCAAAUUAUAUUUUGCCAGAUUCUCCAGUUAAAUUAUGCAUAUAUGCCGGUUUUUUUUUUUAAUUGGUUAAAUAGGUCGUUUUUUUUCAAGAUUUAAGGAAAUAGGUUAAUUUUGAUGAGAGUGUAUGAAAGUGCGUCCAGUUAGACAAGCUUUUGCUGACACGUCAUGAAAAGGUGCCAAGUUAAAAGCGUUUUCUGAAAAUUCCAAAAAAAGCUCGUCCAGCUUCCUGCCAACUGUGCAGCUGGUCACGUUUUUCAUACUCUCUCUCCAAAAUCGGUUGAGUUCCUUAAAUCUUCAAAAAGAUGGCCUAUUUGACCAAUUAAAAAAACAACGGUAUAUAUGACUAAUUUAGCCAAAUUCUUCACUUUUCUUGACUGUAAUAAUAAUUUUUAAGUCCAUACAAUUACAUUUUUGUGAUUAUAAUUUAUACCAUGAAUUUAUUAAAAACUCUUAAUUUUUAUAAAAUGGUCAAUAUUAUUUUAAGGAUAUUUUUGUUUGGCUUAAUUGAAAAUGAGGUCCUUAAACUAUGUCCUUUGUUUGAGUUAAGUACUUAAAUUUUUUUUGACCGAAUUAGAUACCUAAAUUUUAUUUCGUAAUCGAAAUUGGCCGCUCUUUUUCACAUUCGUUUAAAAAAUCAUUCCAACCAAUCAAAAAGUGUCAUGUCACUAUCUCAUUAAAAUAUAAUCAAAUAAAAAUUUUAUAUUAAUAUUAAAUAAAAAAGAUUACCUCCCAACUAAAAAUAUUUAAAAAAGAUGUAAAUAAAAACAAACAGAAAUUUUAUAUAUUAAUAUAUAUGCCUUGAUCAUCAAGCAAAAUCGUCAACCUUCCAACUAAAAAUCGGCAGCACUUUUACUUUUAUAUAUAUAUGGUCCCCUCUUCCUUUACUUAUUUGAGAAAAUAUUCCAAGAGCCCCCAUAAAAUAUUCAGUAAAAUGGAGUGGGAGUUGGAGGUAAAAUUGGAUUGAGUUAUCCAUCUAGUGAGAAGGUGGGAUUGUGGGAGGGGGAAGGAAAGAGAUGGUGAUGGUGGAAGGGAGGGGAGAGAGACAUGGGGGAGAGGAGAGGGAUGGAGUUGAGGUAUGUUUUAUUUUAUUUUGAUGAUGACGUGAGGCUCUUUGAUUGGUUUUGGCUUUUUUUUUUUUAAUGAAGUGUAAUGGUAAGGGUUAAUUUCAGUUACAGAAAUAAAAUUUAAGUACUUAAUUUGACAAAACAAAAUUAGGUACCUAACUCAAAUGAAGGGCAUAGUUUAAGGACCUAAUGUUCAAUUAAGCUUUUUUUUUAUGUUUUUAUAUAAAAUCUAGAAAAUACAUUCACGUAAUGAGAUUCGAACUCAAAACAUCAUGAAUUUUAUUCUCUCAACUUUACCAUCUCAAUUAAAAAACAUAUUUAAGUAUUUAUUUCAAAAUUUAAAUCUACUUUAAAUAAUUGGUAUGAAUUUCUUGAGCAAGAAGAGCAUGGGUGAAACUAGGGGUCCUCGGCCCCCUAAAAUGAAAACUUUUCUAUUUAAGUUCUUUAAAAUUUUUAAAAUUUUAAAUUAGUAAAGGUAAAAUUACACUUUGACCUCCUAAAAUAUAAAAAAAUUGAUUUAAUCCUUGUAAAAAAAUAAAGAUAUAGACUAUUAAAAUGAUGAAAUUACAUUUUGGCCAUCGUAAAAAUUACAAUUAUAAUUUGCCUCCUCUAACUAAAAAAUGGACAAAUUAAUCAUUGUAUAGUCGAUCAGAGAGCAAACUAAUAUUUUUAUUAAAAAUUUCAUUCAUUUUUAUUGUUAAAUACUGACGUGGUUGAAUGAGCAACUAAACAGUGACACUUGGUGUGCGAUGUGUACCUUAUGUUGACAUAGAGGGACUAAUUUAAGUAAAAUGAAUGAAAUUUUUAAUAGAAGAAAUAGACAGUUUUUUUAAUAAGCAACUAAACAGUGUUUUUUUUAUAAUUAAGGUAUCAUAUAUAUUUAUUUUACCCAUGUGUUGAUUUGAUGAUCAGGGUGUUCACCGUCUCAAAUGAAAUCUAGGUUCAAGUCACGCUAAUCGCGUUGCUGUUAGAACUUUUCUCUCCUCUUAUAAUUUACCAAAAAAAGAUAAUCUAUCUUUGAUGUUUUAGAAACGUGUCAUCAUGUCGAGGGAGCAUUUGACUAUAAAAUCAAAUUGUGCUAAUGUGUCGAUAUGUAAUAAGUGAAAAAUAUUUUAGAAGUGUUUUAGAACUAACUACUACUUAAGUUAUUCGAAAAUUCUAUUUUAUUAUAUAUUAUAUGUGUAUGUAUGCUAACUUAUAUAAUAAAUUAACAAAAAUAAAAUAAAAUAAAAUAAGAUUACUUCUUUUUUCAUGUUUCUUACUCGUUGAAUUCUGUAAUAAUCCGGUUUUUGGUAGUGUUGGAAAGUGAAAUAUCGACACUUCAUUUUCGUAAAUCAAAUCCGUAAAAUUCAUUAUUAAAUCACUCAACAAUUUUGAGAAUUUUUUUUUAAAACUUUUGAAGUUUGCAUGUUAAAUAGUUGUUUCUUCAUGGGGGAGACUGUCAAAGUGGUAAAGGCAAGGAGCAAGCUUGUGCUUGUGACAGCAACUUGGGGAAGAUUUCGGGAAGUUUCCUUGAAAUUUACACACUGACUCGUUUCCUUAAUUGCCAGGUUGAAAAAAACUAGUUGGUGACUUCAAUUAAGUUGGCUGAAUUUUAUGAAUAAACUGUGAAUUAGCUGCUGUUGAUUUUCGGUAUGUAGCAAAUAAAACAUGCUGGAAAUUUGAAGAAAUGGUUGUCCAAAAUGACUGUUGUUUUCAUAAGACAUGAAGAAAUGGUUGUCUAAAUUGGCUGCUGUUCGGUUAUGGUGUGAGUUUAAUUCAUUUCUUUCUUGAAUCGAUUCGAUUUUAAAAAUUUGAUAAAAAAUUUAAAAUUUAAAUUAAAUAGUUUGAAUUAAUAAUUUAUUUGGAUAAACUCGAAUAAAAAAUUAAAUUUUUUGGUUUAAUUCGAAUAUGAACUCGAAUAUGAAUUACAGAAUUCGAAUUAUCUGAAAAUCUAAAUAAAGAACGCAAAAUUCAAAUUCAAAUUAACAUAAUCUGAACUUACUAAGUAACGAUCUCUUCAAAUUCAAGCUUAAAAUCAUCAAUUAAACUUUAAUGGCAACUUUCUGAGCAUCUAACAAUUGAAGAAAAUAAUACAUGUAUUAGCUAAAUGAAGCUCCCGUGGUUCAAACUUUAUAAAAAUCUUAAGGAAAGAAUUUAAUUCCGGUGAUUAAUUUUGGAUUAAAAUGGAAAAGAAAACAAAUAUGUUUUUCCUUCUUUUCAGCUUUGGAUGGCCAAACAAAAUGAGGAAGAUGAUAACUUCAUCUUUCUCUCCACUCUCUUAGUAUUUGUACUGAUCAAAAUUAUUGAACUAACAAAGUAGUGACUUGAUCAGUUUGAAUUUUGAAAACCUUCCAUAAAAGAACACAAGUGUCCAAACCCUAAUUCAAUUUUGAUGUCAACAUCAUCUCUCUACCAAGCUUCAAGAAAGUAGACAUCUUAUCGGUAUCAGGCAAGUUGUCUUUGAUUACAGGGAUUGAUUUGAAAUUUUGGAUCCACAAGCUCACUCGAGGGAACUUGUGUGGCUCAAAGAUUUCAAGCCCUACUACGUCUUCGAGAACCCCAAGCCAGUGAGCAACAAAGGAAAAUGCAAUGUCCACCAUGUUUAUCUCGUCUCCGCCAAAGAACUUUUUCACUCCAAUCAGCGCAUGUUCUUCCAUGACUUCCAACAUUUCCAACCACUCCUUCACUGCCGCCUGUUGUUCUUCGCCAUCGGCUUGAUAAAGCUUUGACAUUAAAUAACCCUGUUUUAAACAGAGAUAUGGGAUUUCUAGUAUCAGCCAUCAAAAGUUAUGUACGAUAAAAGAUUUUUAAAGAUUUCAACUAGGUUCAAAUAUGCUACAAAUCCUUGUAUUCUUUGUAUGUUUAAAAUUUAGUCCUCCUAUUUUUGUUUUAAGAAAUUUAAUUCCAUCACUUUUAAAUUUAAAAAGGGUUAAAUCACUUCACUGGGUUUGAACUUAGCAACUACUCCCACAUUGGAGCAUGGACUUUUUUUUUCAAAUUAGUCCUUAAACUUGACAAUUAUUCUCAUGGUAUGACCUGAUAAAAGCUACUUAUCAUUUAAUAAAGAAUAUUUUGGCCUAAUAAAAGCUACUUCUCAUUUAAUAAAGAAUAUUUUUAAUUAACUCAAUUUUAAUUUAUUUAUUUUAAUAUUAUGUUAUCCUAUAAAAACUUUAUGUUUAAAAUUUUAAUUAUGGUUUAGAAUAAGGUAAAAUGUUUAGAAAAUUAAGAAUAAAAUGUAAAAUAUAAUUUUUUAUAAUUCAAAAUCUAUAUUUAUCAAACAAUAUAAUUAUAUUCCCUAAUUAAUUUUAAGUAAUGUAUCAAGCAAAUUUUAUAACUUAAAAUUCGGUACUUAAAUUUUCAAUACUUAAUUUUUCAACCCUUAUUUUUUCUGCACUUAAUCUUUCAGUUUAUCAAAGAACACCUCAGUCCCUAUAUUUUCUUGAAAACCCUAAUAUUCAAGCCCCAACAUGGGAACAAUUGCCUAGUCCAAGCAAUAACAUGAGAACAAUUACCACGAUUAGGGACUAACUUGGAUAAAAAAAAGUUCAAGCCUUAAUGUUGGAACAACUACCUAAUUCAAGCCUUAACAUGUGACCCAAUGUGAGAAUUGUUGCCAAGUUUAGGCCUCAAAUAAUGAUUUAACCCAUUUAAAAAUGUAAAUAUAAUCGUAAACAUGAUUUUUUUUCCGGUUAAAUUGAAGUUCAUAACUUUUUUUUUGUUAUAUGACUACCAAAUGAAUAACUAUUUUUUUAUUUCAAAAUAUCACACCAAAAAAAUUAAUAAAAAAUUAACUGUAUUAACAAUUGAGUUCGGGUUUAGAGUAAAAAAAAUUACUAAUUUUAUAUGUCAAUGACAUGAAAAAAAUUAGUGAAAUAUUAUUAAAUAAUUAGAAAUAGACAAUAGAUAAUAUGGUGGGAAAGGUCCAUAAAAUAGUUUCUUCCAAUACAACACUUAAUAAAUGAUUUUGGCUAUAAAUAUAGAUAAAUAAAUAUAAAUAUAAAAAAUCAAUAAACGGGAAAAUCGUCAUAUGCAUCAAAUAAAUAAAUAAAAGGUUUAAUUGCAAAAUUAGUGUCUAAACUAUAUCAAUUUUCUCCUUUUAAGUACCUCAAAUUUUUGGUAAAAAUAUACUUAAACUAUUAAUUUUGUUACAUUUUGCCUAAAAAGUGCACGAUGGCAAUAAAACAUGCUACUGUAUUUUUGGUAAAAUAAGACAAAAUUAACCAUUUAAAAAUCAUUUUGCAAAGAAGAGAAAAAAAAAACUCUUAGGCACCUAAGUGAUAAAUACGAUAUAGUUGGAGGGUUAAUUUUGUACUUAAUCCAAAAAAGAAAAGAACAGAUUUUACCUUAUCGUCCGCAAAUUUGAUCCAAAACCGAGCAACAGCUCUGUCAUAGGGACCAGCCGGCAGCAAGAGAUUCUGCGGCCAAAUUUCAUCGAUAUAUUGAAGGAUGACGGUGGAUUCACAGAUCGGUUUUCCGUCAUGAACGAGCACCGGGACUUUCUUAUGAAUUGGAUUAUAUUGAAGAAGCAAAGGACUCUUGUUGCGGACAUCUUCUUCAAUAUAUUCGUAAGGUAUGCCUUUGAGUUUCAGAGCCCAAAUAACUCUGCAAGCGUACGGACUAAACCAAGCUCCGAACAAUUUCACGACCGCCAUGGUUUGGAGAUUAAUUCAGAGAUUCUGAGAGCGCUGAGUGCAAAUUUAUAAUAGGAUUACUGGUCAAAGAUUUGUCUAAGGUAACGAUGGUGUGUGUUUUUUUCAUGACAUAAUUCUAAAUUUCAACCUGAAUAUUUAUAUUUUUUAUCAAUUUGGCCCUCAUCUUUUUUUAACUAAGUGUGAGUUUGGAUGGGUGAUCGGGUGCGGUACGGUGUGUUUAACUUAAUUUUUGUCUCACGAUACAAUAUCGUUACAGUAUCUAAUCUCACCGUCAUAACUGUUUUUUGCACAAAUCGAAGCUAAACGCAUCACCCAUCCAAAUCCACCCUAAAUUCGGUUAUUAACCUUUUAAAAAAUAAUACUUUUUUUAACGAAAAUACUAUUUAAAACAUUAACUUUAAAUUAUUUAAGAAAUAUAUUAGUAGUUGGUUGAAUUGAUUAGGUAAUUAGUUCAUCGAUUUAAUAAGUUUGAUAAAGAUAUAACAAUAAAUUCAUAAAAAAAAAAGAAUAUUUAAGAAAUUCAGUUUAAGAGUCAAUUGAAUUGAUUUUUUAAUUAGUUCAAGAUGUGAUUUGUUAGGACUUUGCUUUCCUCUUAUAAUUCACCAAAAGGAUAAUUUAUCUUUGAUGUUUUAGCAAACGUAUCAUCAUGUCGAGGGAGCAUUUGAAUAUAAAAUCAAAUCGUGCUAAUGUGUUGAUAUGUAAAAAGUGAAAAAUAUUUUAGAAUUGUUUUAGAACUAACUAGUACUUAAAUUAUUCGAAAAUUCUAUUUUAUUAUAUAUUAUAUGUGUAUGUAUGCUAACAUAUAUAAUAAACAAAAAUAAAAUAAAAUAAAAUUGCUUCUUUUUUCAUGUUUCUUACUCGUUGAAUUUUGUAAUAAUCCAGUUUUUAGUAGUGUUGGAAAGUAAAAUAUUGACACUUCAUUUCUAUAAAUCAAAUCCGUAAAAUUCAUUAUUAAAUCACACCCAACAAUUUUGAGACCUUGAGAAUUUUUUUAUAAACUUUUGAAACUUGCAUGUUAAAUAGUUGUUCCAUCGUGUGGGAGACGGUCAAAGUGGUAAAGGCAAGGAGCAAGCUUGUGCUUGUGACAGCAACUUGGGGAAGAUGUCGGUAUGUUUCCUUGAAAUUUACACACUUACUCGUUUACUUAAUUGUCAGGUUGAAGUAAACUAGUUGGUGACUUCAAUUAAGUUGUCAAUAAAACAUGGUACUGUGUUUUUUGGUAAAAUAAGAUACAGUUUAAAUAUAGUUUGAGGGUUAUUUUUGUAUUUAAACCAAAAAAAAAAAGAUUUUACCUUGUCAUCAGCAAAUUUGAUACAAAACAGGGCAACGGCUCUCUCAUGGGGAUCACCCGGCAGCAAGGGAUUUUGCGGCCAAAUUUCAUCGAUAUAUCGAAGGAUGACGGUGGAUUCGCAGAUGGGUUUGUCGUCGUGAAGGAGUACCGGGAUCUUCUUAUGAAUUGGAUUAUAUUGAAGAAGCAAAGGACUCUUGUUGAAGAGAUCUUGUUCGAUGUAUUCGUAAGCCAUGCCUUUGAGUUUCAGAGCCCAAAUUACUCAGUAACAGUACGGACUAGGCCUAGCUCCGAACAGUUUCACGACCGCCAUGGUUGGGAGAUUAGUCGAUUUUCUGGUAGAUUCUGAGAGCGGUGAGUGUAAAUUUAUAAUAGGAUUAGCAGUCAAAGCUUUCAGUAAGGUAAAGAUGAAGUGUAAAUACAAGGAAUUAAAGAAAGUAUAUAGAAAUAAUUUUAUAUAAUAAUACAAGCUAUUAUCAUGCAUGAUGCAAUAUAAAGUAAUUUAAGAUGGAUGCCACUUGUCUCACCCCCAAUAUGUUACGUACAGUUAGAAAGAUAAAAUUCGAAGUUAAAAUUAAAUAUAUUAAAGAAUUUAUUAGCUUUGAAUUUCAUAUGAUGGUUUAGUUAAAAGUAUUCAUCACCCUAAGUGUGGGAUAGAGUUCGAGUCUCGUUUGUUGUUUGAAUUUUACUUUAUUAUUAUAAUUCACAAAAAAAAAAGAAGAAUAUAUCAACUUUCAAUGGAUUAUAUUUUGAAAACUUCUCGAAAAUAAAUUAGACCUCUCCUCAACAAAUUUAAAUAUAAAAAAGUAACUUCGAGUAAAAAGCAUAAAUACAUGUAAUUUUUUCAAAAAUAUAUAUAAUGCAAUGCCGCAUAUAGAGACAAUAAAAUAUUUUUUAUUUGGAAUAUUUUGAAUACUAUUUGGAAGUAAAUUGAAAACAAUUUGUUAAGUGAUCAAUUUGAUAAAAACUGAAGCAAGGAUUAAAUUGUAAAAUUUGUAAAAUUCUAAAUGUUAAAUGUUGAUUACUGAAAUCUAAAAAUUUAGUGUUGUACUAAAUUAUAUGAUUAUGAAAUAUGAAAAUUGAACGAUUGGGCAUAAAAUAGUAAAGUUUGAAAUUAUAGGGAUUAAAUUGUAAAGAUUCCAAAACACGAGUUUUAGAACUAAUUUAUGUGGGUUGAGAAUUUACAAUUCUAAAAAUAGAAUAUGAAAGUUUAAUGGUUCAAAAAUCCUGGACUAAUUUGUGGAAAAUUUGACAAGAUUUUAAUAGUAGGAAUUAAAUUAUAAAAUCUCAAAAUUUUGAAAAAAGAAAAAGAAAAAGAAGAGAGAGACUGUUUUGCAAAACUAGGCAAACUGGGAUUUAAGGCUGAAUUGAAAACAAAAUGACUUCCAGGGACUAAAUCGUAAAAUAGUGUAAAUUUAGGAGUUUGGGACUAAAUCGUAAAAAUUGUGUAACUAUAAUUUUAAGGGUUGUCUAGUAAAUUUGGAAAAAUAUAGGAGUGGAAAUGAGCAGAUUUGUUACAUAAGUGUUUAAAUGUAAUAUUUGAAAAUUUUACUAAAUUAAGUGUAUUAAACUAAAAUAAUUGAGUAAAAAAAAUGAAACUUGAAUUAUUAUAGAUUAGAUACAUUAAAGUGAAGAGAAUUAUAUUAUGAAGUAUAUCUUACAAAGAAUAUGGCUAAGGUUAUGGCGACAAGACUCACUGAGGUCUAAGUAUUUGAGGAUCAACCUUAUUCUGUGCAAUAUUUAGUACAAACAGACUAUAUUAGUGUUACAUGGGCUAAUGUGUUAUCUUAAUAGUGUCGUGUAAAGCUGUUUAUUUUACCAAAAGAAAAAUAGGAAAGGCAAAGUGUAGUUAGUAUUAGUACAUUUUGAGAAAGGAUUAAAUUUUGAAAUUCAUUAAAUUAAAUAUAUAAUUAAAAAUUAUAUUGCAAUAGGUAUGAGGUUCUGGUACAUGUGUUUCAAAGUUUCAAUACAUGAAUACUUCAAAGCUAAAAAUGAUUAGUAAUCUUGUAUUGGUUUUGAUACUAUGGAUGAGGUACUGAUGUCUUUGUUCUUAAAAUCGUAAAUUCGCCUGAAAAUACCCUGGAAAAAGGAUUUUGGUUUCUCUAAUUAAAAUUUUAAUAAUAUACAAUUUUAGAAAUAGAUUUAAUAUCAUAUGGAGUCUAGAUGACGUUAGAAAAGUAAGCAAGGGUUAGGGAUUGAAACUGAAAAUUUUAAUGUGACAUUCCUUGUCUGUAUCUUUUAACGAGUCAGGUAAGGGUUGUUAGAUCAUCGGAACAUUCGAAGUAUAGCAUGCAUUCCAUACCUCAUCAGUAUAAUCUUGUACACUAAUCUUAUAGCAUGCCAAAUAUACCCGAGUCAAUUACUAAGGUAACAAUAUUCCAAAAACAUAUUUAUAUUCAUGAUCUUUUACCAUAGUUUCAUAUAAUACUCAUUUAUGCCAUGCUCGUCUCAAUUAAAUUCAUAACAUUUCAUAUCAUUAUCUACAAACCAAAUCAUGAGACAUACUUACCUCAAGCAAGUUAGUUUUUAACCGUAUAUAUAUAUUGAAUUCAAAUCAUGAAAGUAAAAAUCGCAUUAGCUACUCGUCUACGACUUUCGCCUUUUCUUUCUCUCGAGACGGCUCGAUGUCGUCUUUAGCUAUGUUUGAUAAUUUAAUUAUAAAAAUAGUAUUAGUUUCACUCAAACUCAUGAAAAAUAUAUAAUCAAAUAUAUUUCCAUUUUAUUCAUUUUAGUCCUUAUAUCCAAAAUGUUCUUAUUUUUCGAUACUUAACAUAAAAGCAAAAUCUGAUUUCAUAUCCUUCCAUUAGUGACCUUGUAUUUUUAAUCUAUACCAUAAGUUUACAAUAGCUUUCGCUUUAUUCAAUUUUACCCCUAAUUUCACAAAAUUAUCUUUUAAGCUGAACUUAAUUUCCAAAUCCUUAACAUAAUCUAAACUUACUAAUUAACAAUCUCUUCAAAUUCAAGCUUAAAAUCAUCAAUUAAACUUUAAUGGAAACUUUCUGAACAUCUAACAAUUGAAGAAAAUAAUACAUGUGUUAGCUAAAUCAAACUCCCGUGGUUCAAACUUUAUAAAAAUCUUAAGGAAAGAACUUAAUUCCGGCGAUUAAUUUUGGAUUAAAAUGGAAAAGAAAACAAAGAUGUUUUUCCUUCUUCUUUUCAGCUUUGGACAGCCAAACAAAAUGAGGAAGAUGAUAACUUCAUUUUUCUCUCCACUCUCUUAGUAUUUAUACUAUGAUUAAGCCCUUAAUUAGCUUAAUUAAUCACCAUUAGUGGUCAAGCUAAUUAAGAUAAGUGGAUGUAAUCAUACCGUUCCACCAUCAUAUUUUAAAAAUUGUAAAUUAAUUCCAAGGUCCUCAAAUUAAUUAUUAAUUAAGUCCUCAAUCAUUUUUCUAAAUUAAAAUUUCAAUAGCGGUUGAACUUUUACAAAUUAGUCCCUGAACUUUAAUUAAUGAUUUUCUUGAUUAAAUUACUUAACCAUUCUUUAAUAUAUUUUCAUACUAACUUCAUAAACCUUUCUAUUCAUGAUUCCACUAACUCAAUUUACGGAAUUGGAUUUUAAAAUUGUAUUUUUUUUGACAAUGUUUAAAAUCAGGUCAUUACAAGUUAAUUAAAAGAAUAAAUAAUAUUUUGGGCAUAUGAAAGAUAUUUAUUGGGCUAAACAAACAUAUGAGUUAGUUUAAAGACAAGAUAACACAUAUAAUAGACUUAAUAAAUGAAAAAGCCCGAUAUAGGAGGAGGGGUGGCAAACUAGUAUGGACCCAUUGAAAUUUUUUUAUUUUGAUUUUGAUAAUUUAUUUAAACAAACUGAUCGAAAUUAUUGGACAAACAAAGCAGUGACUUGAUCAGUUCAAAGUUUGAAAACCUUCGAUAAAGAACUCAAGUUUCCAAACCCUAAUUCGAUUUUGAUGUCAACAUCAUCUCUCUACCACGCUUCAAGAAAGUAGACAUCUUAUCGGCAUCAGGCAAGUUGUCUUUGAUUAUAGGACUUGAUUUGAAAUUUUGGAUCCACGAGCUCACUCGAGGAAACUUGUGUGGCUUAAAGAUUUCAAGCCCUAGUACGUCUUCGAGAAUCCCAAGCCAGUGAGCAACAAAGGAAAAUGCAAUGUCCACCAUGUUUAUCUCGUCUCCGCCGAAGAACUUUUUCACUCCAAUCAGCGCAUGUUCUUCCAUGACUUCCAACAUUUCCAACCACUCCUUCACUGCCGCCUGUUGUUCUUCGCCAUCGCCUCGAUAAAGCUUUGACAUUAAAAGACCCUGUUUUAAACAGAGAUAUGAGAUUUCUAGUAUCAGCCAUCAAAAGUUAUGUACGAUAAAAGAUUUUCAAAGAUUUCAACUAGGUUAAAAUAUGCUACAAAUCCUUGUAUCCUUUGUAUGUUUAAAAUUUAGUCCUCCUAGCUAUUUUUGUUUUAAGAAAUUUAAUCCCAUUACUUUUAAAUUUAAAAAGGGUUAAAUCACUUCACGGGGUUUGAACCUAGCAACUACUCCCACAUUAGGGCAUGAACUUUUUUUUGGUUCAAAUUAGUCCUUAAACGUGACAAUGAUUCUCACGGUAUGGCCUGAUAAAAGCUACUUAUAACUUAAUAAAGAAUAUAUUUAAUUAACUCAAUUUUAAUUAAUUUAUUUUAAUAUUAUGUUUUCCUAUAAAAACCUUAUGUUUAAAAUUUUAAUUACGGUUUAGAAUAAGGUAAAAUGUUUAAAAUUAAGAAUAAAAUGUAAAAUAUAAUUUUUUAUAAUUCAAAAUUUAUAUUUAUCAAACAAUAUAAUUAUAUUCCGUAAUUAAUUUUAAGUAAUGUAUCAAACAAAAUUUUAUAACUUAAAUUCGGUACUUAAAAUUUCAAUACUCAAUUUUUCAACCCUUAUUUUUUCUGCACUUAAUCUUUUAGUUUAUCAAAGAACACCUUAGCCCCUAUGUUUUCUUGAAAACCCUUAUAUCCAAGCCCCAACAUAGGAACAAUUGCCUAGCCCAAGCACUAACAUGAGAACAAUUACCACGUUUAUGGACUAACUUGGAUAAAAAAGAGUUCAAGUCCCAAUGUGGGAACAAUUACCUAAUUCAAGCCUUAACAUGUGAUCCAAUGUGAGAAUUGUUACCAAGUUCAGGCCUCAAAUAAUGAUUUAACCCAUUUAAAAAUGUAAAUAUAAUCGUAAACAUGAAUUUUUUUGGUUAAAUUAAAGUUCAUACCUCAUUUUUUUUGUUAUAUGACUACCAAAUGAAUAACUAAUUUUUUUAUUUCAAAAUAUCACACAAAAAAAUUUUAAUAAAAAAAUUAACUGUGUUAACAAUUGAGUUCGGGUUUAGAGUGAAAAAUUACCAAUUUUAUAUGUCAAUGACAUGAAAAAAAUUACUGAAAUAUCAUUAAAUAAUUGGAAAUAGACAAUGGAUGAUGUAGUGGGAAGGGUUCAUAAAAUAGUUUCUCCCAAUACAACACUUAAUAAAUAGUUUUGGCUAUAAAUAUUGAUAAAUAAAUAUAAAUAUAAAAAAAUCAAUAAACGCGAAAAUCGUCAUAUGGAUCAAAUAAAUAAAUAAAUAAAAGGUUUAAUUGCAAAAUUAGUGUCUAAACUAUAUCAAUUUUCUCAUUUUAAGUACCCAAAAUUUUCGGUAAAAAUAUACUUAAACUAUUAAUUUUGUUACAUUUUACCUAAAAAGUGCAAGAUGGCAAUAAAACAUGCUACUGUAUUUUUGGCAAAAUAAGACAAAAUUAACCAUUUAAAAAUCAUUUUGCAAAGAAGAGAAAACAAACAUAACUGUUAGACACCUAAAUGAGAAAUACGAUAUAGUUGGAGGGUUAAUGUUGUAUUUAAUCCAAAAAAGAAAAGAACAGAUUUUACCUUGUCAUCUGCAAAUUUGAUCCAAAACAGAGCAGCAGCUCUGUCAUAGGGAUCAGCCGGCAGCAAAGGAUUCUGCGGCCAAAUUUCAUCGAUAUAUUGAAGGAUAACGGUGGAUUCACAGAUCGGUUUUCCACCAUGAACGAGCACCGGGACUUGCUUAUGAAUUGGAUUAUAUUGAAGAAGCGAAGGACUCUUGUUGAGGAGAUCUUCUUCAAUAUAUUCGUACAGUAUGCCUUUGAGUUUUAGAGCCCAAAUUACUCUGUAACCGUACGGACUAAACCAAGUUCCGAGCAAUUUUACGACCGCCAUGAUUGGGAGGUUAGUUCAGAGAUUCUGAGAGCGCUGAGUGCAAAUUUAUAAUAGGAUUACUGGUCAAAGAUUUGUCUAAAAAUUUCAUGAUAUAAAAAAAGAGAAAUUGACAAAAAUUGUAGGCCCUAAAAGUUGGAAUCUGUCACUAAGACUUUUAUACGAAGAUGAAGUAUUAUAAAAGAUUUUUAUAUAAUAAUAUAAGGUAAUGUCAUGCAUGAUGCAAUAUAAGGUAAGGUAGUCCAACCGAACAAUCCAAUCCUAUUUAAACACAAGUAAAAACCCCAUAUAUAAUUUUAAACCCAUAUAUAAUUGAAUAUAUAUGUUUUCUUUUAUAAUUAAGGUAUCAUAUAUAUUUAUUUUAUCCGUGUGUUGAUUUGAUGAUCAGGGUGUUCAUCGUCUCAGAUGUGAUUUGGUUUCAAGUCACGCUAAUCGCGUUGCUGUUAGGACUUUACUCUCCUCUUAUAAUUCACUGAAAAGGAUAAUUUAUCUUUGACGUUUUAGCAAGCGUGUCAUCAUGUCUAGGGAGCAUUUGACUAUAAAAUCAAACCGUGCUAAUGUGUCGAUAUGUAAAAAGUGAAAAAUAUUUUAGAGUUGUUUUAGAACUAACUACUACUUAAAUUAAUCGAAAAUUCUAUUUUAUUAUAUAUUAUAUGUGUAUGUAUGCUAACAUAUAUAAUAAACAAAAAUAAAAUAAGAUGACUUCUUUUUUCAUGUUUCCUACUCGUUGAAUUCUGUAAUAAUUCUGUAACAUAUCCAAAAUGAGUUCUGUUGUUUUCAUAAUAUAUUUUGUCUGACAUAUGAAGAAAUGAUUGUCUAAAAUGGCUGCUGUUUCCAGAACUUUUUAUAUCUGACAUUUAAGAAAUGGUUGUCCAAAACGGCCGUUGUUUUCAUAAUUUAUUAUGUCCGACAUAUGAAGAAAUUGUUGCCUAAAAUGGCUGUUGUUGGGUUAUGGUUGUCGACACCAUUUUUUGAUAAAACGGAGUUGACUUGGAUAUUAAAAAUGAAAACGAAUAUAGAAGUUGUCACCAAUCUUUUUUGAUGAUGUGUGAUCGGGUCAAUUCAAAAAGUGGUUGUUUUUAAUAAACCAUUCGGUUUUAUUAAAACAACGAUUUUGGUUCAUGAAAUUCAGAAAAAUGGGUUCGGAAGUCGGUUACGUACGAGGAAGGAUUAGCACCCUCGUAACGCCCAAAAAUUGGUACCUAGUUGAUUAAUUAGUGUUGUCCAAAAUGACUGUUGUUUUCAGAAAUGAUUGUCUAAAAUGGCUGCUGUUUCCAGAACUUAUUACGUCUGACAUUUAAGAAAUGGUUGUCCAAAACGAACGUUGUUUUCAUAAUUUAUUAUGUCUAACAUAUGAAGAAAUGGUUGUCUAAAAUGUAUGUGGUUUUCAUAAUUCAUUUCUUUCUUGAAUGGUUGGUUGUAUUCUUAUGUUGGUAAGUGAAGUGAAUAAAAUUCGAUUUAAUUUUAAAAAUUUGAUAAAAAUUUUAAAAUUUAAAUUAAAUAGUUUGAAUUAUUCGAGUUAUUUGGAUCAACUCGAAUAAAAAAUUAUUAUUUUUGGUUUAAUUCGAAUAUGAACUCGAAUAUGAAUUACAAUAUUUGAGUUAUCUGAAAAUCUAAAUAAAAAAUACAAAAUUACGUCGUUUUGAUAAAUAUUUACUUUCUCUAAAGUUAAAAGGCAAAAUUACGUUGUUUUGCUAAAUAUUUACUCAUCAGCCUUAUUUUCUUUCUCGAAUCCCCCCACUUUCCCUUUUUUCUUUACUCAAAAUUAACCUAAAAGUUUGUAAUUCGUCUACUACUUAAAUAAUUAGUCUAUGUAAAUGCAAUAUUGAAUAUAAAUAAUAGGAUUCGUUAACUCAACUCAACUUGGCUCGAAAUUUUUUUACUCGAUUCAACUCAAUUUUAAAAAAAUACAAAUUGAAUUCGGUUUCUAAAAUAGUAUUCAUCAAUUUGACUAACUUAAUUUUUUUUUCACCCCGGCAAGUGUGAUGAAAAUUGAGGGGAAAUUGAGGGAAAAGUUUUGAUGGUUGUCAGUUGUUGAGUGAGCUGUCGUGACAUGCAAAACCCAUGCAUGUUGUCCUAAUAUGACUUAUUGUUAUGAAAAUAAUGUCCUGCUGGAGUUGAUUAAAUAUUAAUGUCCUAUGCUGCAAUUAAAAGAUAUCAUAGUGCUGUAUCAUAUUUAAAAUGUAAGUAUUUAUGUUGUCUUAAAACAUUAUCUGUAUGGAUUAAUUACUGUAAUUUAAACCGUCUUAAUAAUGAAAUUGUGAUAUCUUAAAGCAGUAAAUUGUGGUUAAAAUGUAUAAAUCUGGGAGUAAAUCGAGUUUUAUUUGUGGAAUGACAUGUUGUAACAACCCAAUUUUGGGUCUAGUCGGAACAGUGGUUUCGGGACCACAAAUCCGACGAGGAAAAAUGUAAUUGCCUGAAUUUUCAGGGGUGUCAGAACAGUGAUUCGAGAUCACUAAAUCCGACAACUGAGUAGAAAAUAUUAUUAAUUUAGUGAGUAUAAGUUAAAUGUGAAGUUAAGAAAAUUUUUGAAAUAGUGAAUAGUGCACUAGAAAUAAAUAUUAAAAUAGUUAGAAUAAAAAACGAGGUAUCGAGACCUCAAAGAUUUUAAACCGAGCCAUAAAUAUUUUUAUAAAUAUUUAUGGAGUGUUAAAAAGUUAGUAUUAAAGUUUCAAUAAUUAAUUGAACAAAAAGGACUAAAUUGUAACAAAUGCAAAAUUCUGGGAAAUGAUUAAAUAGCUUAAAUGAUAAAAGGAAGAGGACUUAAAAGGAAAAUAGACCCAAUGUCUAUUUGGGCUGGACGGCAAAGGCAUGAAAUCAGCAAGAAAGUAAGGAGAAUUAAGGGCAAAAUUGGAAUAUUGUAAAAUUACUUAAUAAAGCUAGGAUCAAAGUGGAAUUAUCUAGAUUUCUCUUUAUUUUUCUGCAUUCUAAUCAGCUAAAACACCAUAGAAGGGUUUCCUUAAGAUGGUGCUUCAUAUUUUUACUGCAAGUAAGUUCAAUUCUUGAUUAUUUCUUGAAAUUGUUGUGCUUUUGUGACUUUUACAACUAGGCCCACUUGUUGAAUUCAUUAGUUUUUGAUUCUAUGAAAGAAGUUGAAAGUUGCUAUGAAUAUGUGCUGGAAGUAUAUGAUGAUUUAGCAUGGAAUUAGAGCUUUAAAUUGUUUAUAUGCUAAUUUUAUUGAAAGAAAUGAAUAGAAAGUCAAUGUUUGGGACCUAAUAGUAAAAGAGUUUGAAGUUAGGGUUUUAUGAGGAAAUUUUGAAUUUCAAUAGUUAUGAAUAACUUAUAAGGUCUAGGUAAAGUACUAAUUGAGAAAAAUUACCUUAAUUGAGGGGUUAAUUGAGCAAGGACUGAAUUGUAUGAACUGUGAAAUUUAGGGCAAAAUAGAAAUUAACAUUUUGCACUAAAACAGUUUUGGAUAGCAACAGUAGUUUAAAUUUCAAAAAUCACCAAAAAUUAUGGGAAUCGAAUUAGAGAAUGAAUAAAACAUGAAAUUAAAGCUUAUUGAGUCUAGUUUCUCAUAGAAGAAACGGUGUAAGCAAUAGAAUUGUAAAUUAUGAGAUAUAAUAAAUUUUGUGAUACAAGGUCAGAAAGAUUUCGGGUUCCCCUGUUCUGACUUUGGAAAAUCAUCAAAAAUUGAAUAAAAAUAAUUAGGGGCUUAAAUUUAUAUAUUUAAAAUCAUGAAUAAGUCUAUUUUCAAGAGAAACAAAUAGAAACAUCAUUCAAGUCUCGUACAAGGAGAUAAUUAAUUUUUAGUGAAGAAGGAUCGAAAUUGUUUAAUAGUGAAAUAGGAGAGACUUUAAAGGCUAAGCCAAAAAUUCUAAAAAUUUUAUGUUAAAAAGAUAUAUGAGUCUAGUUUCCGGAAAAAUUAACAGAUCUUAAUUUAAAGCUUCGUAACUCGAGAUAUAAAUAAUUUAGUGACUCUAACUCGGAUAGACAGCUUUGAAUUUACUUAUAAGUAAAUAGUGAAAAUAUAGUUAAUGUUAUUAAGCAUGUUAUAUACAUUAAGGAUGUGGAAUGAAAAGGAGGAGGAGGAAAAUUAGAAAAUAUAUGAAUGACUUGUGCAUAAAUCGGUCAUAUAUUCGAUCAUAAUCGAUAAAUGUUGAAUUAGAAACGAUGUAAUGUUUUAUUUCAAAUAGUUACUGUGAGAUUGAUGAUAUCUGAUUUUAGCUAAAUUAAAAGCUAAAGCGAUGUUUUCAUUGAAAAAUUAAGAAUUUCAUAAAUGUGUUAAUGAAUGGCAUAAUCGAUAAACGUUGAGUUAAAUGGUAAAUACGUAUUAGUAUUGAACUUAAUGAUAUUGAAUUGUAUGAGAAGUAAAUGGAAAUUUCUAUUGCUAGUGAUAUGAUUUGAAUUAAAAAAAUUAUUGCGAUAUUGAAAUGUAUAUUGGAUUGAGAAAUUGAUUUGAAUUGUGAACAUGAUAAAUUAUGAAUUGAAUGAAAUGGAAAUGAAGCAUUGAAUUGUUAAGACUUGUGAAUUGCAUGAAUAUAAAUCGAAUCCCGUAGGCCCUAUUUAUUAUGAAUAUAAUAUUUAGAGGAUAUAUUGUGAAGAAUUAUAAAAGCAUGUUAAAAUUUUGAAAGUUUUAAUUUAGAAGAAAUUUUAUAAUAUGAUUAAAUAAGUUUACAAAGAUGGAGUAUUAUGAAAGAUUUUAUAUAGUAAUAUAAGGUAAUGUCAUGCAUGAUGCAAUAUAAGGUAAGGUAGUGUCAUGCAUGAUGCAUCUUUAUUAAUUUUUUUUUAAUUUGAAUAAAUGUUUUUAGAAAUAAAUUAGUGGUUGGUUGAAUUGAUUAGGCCAUUAGUUUGUCGAUUUGAUAAGUUCGAUAAAGAUAUAAUAAUAAAUUCAUAAAAAAGAAUAUUUAAGAAAUCUAGUUCAACUGUCAAUUUAAUUGAUUUUUUAACUGGUUCAAUCGAUUUGAUGUUUUUUUCGAAUCUAUAUUUCGACCUGUUUCUAGUCCAACCGAACAAUCCAAUCCUAUUUAAACACAAGUAAAAACCCCAUAUAUAAUUGAAUAUAUAUGUUUUUUUAUAAUUAAGGUAUCAUAUAUAUUUAUUUUACCCGUGUGUUGAUUUGAUGAUCAGGGUGUUCAUCGUCUCAGAUAUGAUUUGGUUUCAAGUCACGCUAAUCGCGUUGCUGCUAGGACUUUACUCUCCUCUUAUAAUUCACUAAAAAAGAUAAUUUAUCUUUGACGUUUUAGCAAACGUGUCAUCAUGUCUAGGGAACAUUUGACCAUAAAAUCAAACCGUGUUGAUAUGUAAUAAGUGAAAAAUAUUUUAGAAUUGUUUUAGAACUAACUACUAAAAUUAUGCGAAAAUUCUAUUUUAUUAUAUAUUAUAUGUGUAUGUACGCUAACAAAUAUAAUAAACAAAAAUAAAAUAAAAUAAGAUGACUUCUUUUUUCAUGUUUCUUACUCGUUGAAUUAUGUAAUAAUUCAGUUUUUUGUAGUGCCGGAAAGUGAAAUAUCGACACUUUAUUUUCGUAAAUCAAAUUCGUAAAAAUUAUUAUUAAAUCACACCCAACAAUUUUGAGACCUUGAGAAUUUUUUUUUGAACUUUUGAAAUUUGCAUGUUAAAUAGUUGUUUCUUCAUGUGGGAGACGGUCAAAGUGGUAAAGGCAAGGAGCAAGGUUGUGCUUGUGACGGCAACUUGGGGAAGAUUUGGGUAAGUUUCCUUGAAAUUUACAGACUUAAUUGCCAGGUUGAAGUAAGCUAGUUGGUGACUUCAAUUAAGUUGUCUGAAUUUUAUGAAUAAACUGUGAAUUAGCUGCUGUUGAUUUUCGGUAUGUAGCAAAUCAAACGUGUUGGAAAUUUGAAGAAAUGGUUGUCCAAAAGGACUGUUGUUUUCAUAAUAUAUUUUGUCUGACAUAUGAAGAAAUGAUUGUCUAAAAUGGCUGCUGUUUCCAGAACUUAUUAUGUCUGACAUUUAAGAAAUGGUUGUCCAAAACGACUUCGUAAUUUAUUAUUUCUGACAUAUGAAGAAAUGGUUGUCUAAAAUGGCUGUUGUUCGGUUAUGGUGCGGGUUUAAUUCAUUUCUUUCUUGAAUGGUUGGUUGUAUUCUUAUUUUGGUAAGUAGGUGAAUAAAAUUUGAUUCGACUUUAAAAAUUUAAUAAAAAAUUUAAAAUUUAAAUUAAAUAGUUCGAAUUAAUCGAGUUAUUUGGAUCAACUCGAAUAAAAAAUCAAAUUUUUUGGUUUAAUUCGAAUAUGAACUCGAAUAUGAAUUACACAAUUCGAAUUAUUUGAAAAUCUAAAUAAAAAAUACAAAAUUACAUCAUUUUGAUAAAUAUUUACUUCGUCUAAAGUUAAAAGGCAAAAUUAAGUUGUUUUAAUAAAUAUUUACCCAUCAGCCUUAUUUUCUUUCUCGAAUCCCCCCACUUUCCCUUUUUUCUUUACUAAAAAUUAACCUAAAAGUUUAUAAUUCGUCUACUAGUUAAAUAAUCAGUCUAUGUAAACGCAAUAUUGAAUAUAAAUAAUAAGAUUCGUUAACUCGACUCAACUUGACUCGAAAUUUUUUUACUCGAUUCGACAAAAUUUAAAAAAAUACAAAUUAAACUCGGUUGCUAAAAUAAUGCCCACCUCUACUGGUAAGUGUGAUGAAAAUUGAGAGAAAAGUUUUGAUGAUUGUUGUAAUACCCAAUUUUGCCCCGGGCCUGUUAAAAUAAUACAAAAACCAAAAUAUAAAUAAAGUCCAAAUAUUAGACAGUCCAUUGACAUAGUCCAAUUAAUUACACCAGCCCAUAUAGCCCAAUAACCAAAAAAAAGCCCAAAGCUUCGACCCAAAUACAAUUGUUAACCCAAUUCCAGAAACCAUCCCGCCUUCCUCGCACGCCGCCAGCAGCCUCUCACCAUAGCCACCCGCGUGCGUGCGCCCCUAGUUGUACCUGCAACUAGGGGGUGUGCAAAAUUCGUGUAAAAUCGAAAAAAAUUCAGUUAACCGACUGAAUUCGAUUAAUUGGUCGGUUAACCGAAUUUUUUUGGUCGAGGGUCGGUUAAUUAUUUUUUAAUUUUUUGGUUAACGGUUAAUUCGGUUCGAAACUAGUCGAUUAACCGAAUUUUUUCGGUUUAAGUAAAAAAAUUAAUAAAUAAAAUUAUAAUAUAUAAAUAGGCCCACUAUUCACCUAAACCCAAUCCAAACCCAAGUAUUCAAUCCAACCCAAUUACCCAACUCAACCCAAUCAUAAAAAUUACAAAUAAUUUAAUAAAUAAAAAUAAAAUUCUAAAACUAAAACUAAAACUAAAGUCUAAAAGUCUAAAUAUAAUUUAAUUAUGUAGUGAUUCAAUUCGGUUAAUUCUGGUAAUUCGGUUAAUUUUUAACCAAAAAUAAAAAACAUAUAAUUUUCGGUUAAUUCAGAUAACCGACCGAAUUAACUGAAAAAUUUCGGUUCGGUUAAUUUUUUUGAAAAAUUUUCGGUUCGGUUAACGGUUAAAAAUUUUGAAAGGUCGAUUAAUUCGGUUAAUAUUAUUUCGGGUCGGUUAACCGAACAAACACCCCUACCUGCAACAGCAAACAGCAAACAAUACCAACAAAGCAGUAACAGCAAAAUAGAAUAACAGAAAAGGGAAUAAUAGAAUAUAGGAAAUGUAUUUCUUUGUUUAUUUUUAUUUUAUUAUUAUUUUUCUAUUUCAUUUUUCGGCUAUAAAAGAGCCGAUUCAAGCACUGUAAAAGGAGACGCAUUCAAAGAAAAAGAAACAGAAUCAUCAAAAAAAGAAGAAUAGAGUUUUUUUUUUUCUGAAGGUUUUUUUUUUCGAUUUCAAUUUAUUUUCCUUGUUUCAUUUGAUUGGCUUUGAUUAUAAGCUAAAAGAGGAAGAGAAGAAGCGUCUUACCAGAGCGGGCGCCAUUGGAACCUGGUUUGCUCCGUCUGAAUCAGAGUCAAAUCGGGUUCGUGACUGGAGACCGACGGGGAGAAAGGCUAGGUUGUUGGUAUGUUUUAGGAUAGCAAAACAACUUAUCAAGGUUUUAGUUUUUAGUUUUUUAAAGAUAAUAAAACAGUGCCGUUUAAGCCUGAUUUGAUGGCUUCAAAACGACACCGUGUUGACUAACACCCGAUGACCCGACCCGAACGAGGUGGGAUCCGCGCGUUUUGAGUCUGUUGGGAUUUUUGCGCAUCAGAUCCCUCUGUUUUGCGUUUUGGUUCAAUCUAAUCCUUUUGUUUUUUUAAUUUUGGCCACCUAUUUCUUUGUAAAUGCCAUUUGGUCCGCGAUGAAACGCCACGUUUUGGGGGAUGGGAUAUUUUCUCGUUUAAUCCCUAUGUAAUUCACGCAUUUUUCUUUGGCCCUCACUGAUAUAGUAUUUUCAUUUUUCUCUCUUAAUUUUGUAUUAAAUACAUUUUAGCCCACAUUUGUUUAGUCUAAAAAUGUAUUAAUUAUUUAAAUUUGUUAUGGAUUAUUAUUUUAAGUUAGUCAUGUAUAUUUUAAUUUAUUAUGAAUAUUUUAAAUGUAUCAUACAUCAUUAUUUUUAAAUCUAUUAUGUAUGCAUAUUUUAAUUGUAUUAUGUAUAAUUAUUUUAAAAUUCAUAUUUAUAUUAUUAUUUUCUUAAUGUUAUUAUAGUAUCAUAAGUUUAGCAUGUACCAUUAUUUUAAGUUUUUAUAUUACUAUUUACUUUAGUCAUGAAUAUUUUUUUGUAUUUUAAUUCAAUAAAAUCUAUACCAAAUUGAUUUCAUUUUUAGUUCUUUCAUAUACUUUUAUCUUUAAAUUUGUAUGGUAACAUUCUAUAAUGUAAUUUCAUAUAUAUAUACAUACAAUUUAUAUUAAAUUAUUAUUUUUGUAUACAUAUAUAUAGUAUAUUAUUUAAUUUUGGAACUGUAUAUUUCUAUAUAUACAUAGAUAUUUUAUUUCUUCCUAAUAUAUUUAGUUUAUUUCACAUUUUUGUAUAUUUGUAUAUUAUCACUUGCAUGAAAUUCCAAACCCUAUGUAUUAUUUAUUUAAAAAUUAAUAUAUAUUUUUUUAUGCUUUAUUUUUCCCUUGUGUAAAAUUUGCUUCAAAAUUCAUCUAAACACCAUUAGUUAAUGUUUUUUGCAAAUUUGUUUUAAACUUAUGUAUAUGUUUUUAAUUUUUGAAUGUAUAUUGAUUGCAAUUUGUUCUUUUGUACAUUUAGCAAAUAAAUUGACAAUUCAUUUGGUUUUGGAAUAUUGAUUUUAUUAGCGUUCGCAUAAUAUGUGAUUGUGAUUAUUGUUGCUAUGUGAAUUAUUGGGUUUGUCUUUAUUUACUGUUUAUUUGAUUAGUGUAAGUUUAUUUACAAAUUGUCUUUUUUUUUUUUGGCGUUGUACAUAAACAUUAAAUUAUACUACAUUUGUUUUAAAAAUUGUGUUUCAUUAGAGCACUAAAAUCAUUCUAUUCCGUGAAUUUUAAAAAAUGCUCGGUGUUCACGAUUCUCGAGAGGAUUGUGCCCUAACUUACUGGGCUUCAAUUCUUUUCUAUGAAUUUAGAUAGCCAAGUAUUUAUUUUGCAAUAAAACCAUACAAUUUCAAAAUAAAGUUUUUCUGGGAUUUCAAAAUGUUGAAUCCUAACUCAUUGGAUAUGACAUUUUGCUACCUCGAAUUAAGGAUUUUUAAAAUAAAGGCAAUAUUCGGUGUUUAGGAAUUUCGAGAAAUUGAAUCCUAACUUACUGGGUUCUGAUUUUUUUCGUUUGACCCAAAUAGCCAAAUAUCCUUCUCAAAAUGCACAAGUUUUUAAAGUUAAAAAGAUAAACUUAAUUUUGAAGAUUAAAAAUGUUGCAUUCUAACUCACUGAGUGUGACAAUUUAUUUCUUUGAAAUGAGUGUGUCUUAUCAUUCAAUUCGUUUUAUUCAAAUUUUCUUUUCAAAGGAUCGUAUUUUAAAAUCUUUUUAAAUUUUCAACACUAAGAUAUCAAAUAAUCAAUUCGGUACCAAUUUUGGGCGUUACGAGGGUGCUAACCCUUCCCCAUGCGUAACCAACUCCCAAACCUGUUUUCUCAAAUUUCGAAGACCAAAAUCGUUUUUAAUGUGAGCUGAUCACACCUCAAUAAAGGAUUGGUGGCGACUCCAAUUUUCGUUUCUAAGUCAACAACUAAAUUUUGUUUUCAAAAAGUGGUUUUGACAAUUGUCAGUUGUUGAGUGAGCUGUCGUGACAUGCAAAACCCAUGCAUGUAGUCCGAAUAAGACUUACUGUUAUGAAAAUAAUGUCCUGCUGGAGUUGAUUAAAUAUGAAUGUCCUAUGCUGCAAUUAAAAGAUGUCAUAGUGUUGUAUCGUGUUUAAAAUGUGAGUAUUUAUGUUGUCUUAAAACAUUAUCUGUGUGGAUUAAUUACUGUAAUUUAAACCGUCUUAAUAAUGAAAUUGUGAUAUCUUAAAGCAGUAAAUUGUGGUUAAAAUGUAUAACUCUGGGAGUAAAUCGAGUUUUAUUUGUGGAAUGACAUGUUAUUUUAGAAGUACAAAUUGAGUGUCGCUAAUGGUGAGUUCUUUCAGUUUUUAUCGAUUUAUGUGUAAUGUUUAAUUCAAUUUUUGAGUUUACAGGUCGGGAAUUUGAAGAUGAUUAUGUGACAACCAGUUGAUAUGAUUACAAAUGUGAUAUGAAAAGAUUAUAUUCAUAAUAUAAGUUGACAUAUUAAACUGCCUACGAACUUUUGAUUUUUAUUUAUGUCCUCACAUAAUUUACAUAAUAAACCAGAUUUUACCUUGUCGUCUGCAAAUUUGAUCCAAAACAGAGCAACAGCUCUGUCAUAGGGAUCAGCCGGCAGCAAGGGAUUCUGCGACCAAAUUUCAUCGAUAUAUUGAAGGAUGACGGUGGAUUCACAGAUCGGUUUUCCGUCAUGAACGAGCACCGGGACUUUCUCAUGAAUUGGAUUAUAUUGAAGAAGCAAAGGACUCUUGUUGCGGAGAUCUUCGUCAAUAUAUUCGUAAGGUAUGCCUUUGAGUUUCAGAGCCCAAAUUACUCUGUAACCGUACGGGCUAAAGAAAGCUCCGAACAAUUUCACGACCACCAUGGUUGGGAGAUUAGGUCAGAGAUUUUGAGAGCGCUGAGUGCAAAUUUAUAAUAGGAUUACUGGUCAAAGAUUUGCCUAAGGUUUAUAAUAGGAUUACUGGUCAAAGAUUUGUAGACAAAAGAGAAAUCGACAAAAAUUGUAGACCCUAAAAGUUAGAAUUUGUCACUAAGACUUUUUUAUAUAAAAGAUUUUAUAUAAUAAUAUAAGGUAAUGUGAUGCAUGAUGCAUCUUUAUUAAUUGUUUUUUUAAUUUGAAUAAAUGUUUUUAGAAAUAAAUUAGUGGUUGGUUGAAUUGGUUAGGUCAUUAGUUCGUCGAUUUGAUAAGUUCAAUAAAGAUAUAAUAAUAAAUUCAUAAAAAAAAUUAUGAAAUACAGUUCAACCGUCAAUUUAAUUGAUUUUUUAACCGGUUCAAUCGAUUCGAUGUUUUUUUUCGAAUCUAUAUUUCGACCUGUUUCCAGUUCAACCGAACAAUCCAAUCAUAUAUAAACACAAGUAAACACCCCAUAUAAAAUUGAAUAUAUAUGUUUUUUUUAUAAUUAAGGUAUCAUAUAUAUUUAUUUUACCUGUGUGUUGAUUUGAUGAUUAGGGUGUUCACCGUCUCAAAUGUGAUAUUGGUUCAAGCCACGCUAAUCGUGUUGCUGUUAGGACUUUGCUCUCCUCUAAAUCACACCCAACAAUUUUGAGACCUUGAGAAUGUUUUUUUUUUACUUUAGAAAUUUGCAUGUCAAAUAGUUGUUUCUUCAUGUGGAAGACGGUCAAAGUGGUAAAGGGAAGGAGCAAGCUUGUGCUUGCGACAGCAACUUGGGGAAGAUUUCGUUAAGUUUCCUUGAAAUCUACACACUGACUCGUUUACUUAAUUGCCAGAUUGAAGUAAACUGGUUGCUGACUUCAAUUAAGUUAUCUGAAUUUUAUGAAUAAACUGUGAAUUAGCUGCUGUUGGAAAUUUGAAGAAAUGGUUGUCCAAAAUCACUGUUGUUUUCAUCUGACAUAUGAAGAAAUGAUUGUCUAAAAUGGCUGCUGUUUCCAGAACUUAUUAUAUCUGAUAUUUAAGAAAUGGUUGUCCAAAAUAACCCUUUUUUUUCAUAAUUUAUAUUUUCAUACUAACUUCAUAAACCUUUCUAUUCAUGAUUCCACUAACUCAAUUUACGGAAUUGGAUUUUAAAAUUGUAUUUUUUUCGACAAUGUUUAAAAUCGGGUCAUUACAAGUAAAUUAAAAGAAUAAAUAAUAUUUUGGGCAAAUGAAAGAUAUUUAUUGUGCUAAAAAACUAUAUUAGUUAGUUUAGAGACAAGAUAACACAUAUAAUUGACUUAAUAAAUGAAAAGGCCGAUAUAGGAGGGAGGGGCGGCAAACUAGUAUGGACCCAUUGAAUUUUUUUAUUUUUAUUUUGAUAAUUUAUUUAAACAAACUGAUCGAAAUUAUUGGACUAACAAAGCAGUGACUUGAUCAGUUCGAACUUUGAAAACCUUCAAUAAAGAACACAAGUGUCCAAACCCUAAUUCGAUUUUGAUGUCAACAUCAUCUCUCUACCAUGCUUCAAGAAAGUAGACAUCUUAUCGGUAUCAGGAAAGUUGUCUUUGAUUACAGGGAUUGAUUUGAAAUUUUGGAUCCACGAGCUCACUCGAGGGAACUUGUGUGGCUCACAGAUUUCAAGCCCUAGUAUGUCUUCGAGAACCCCAAGCCAGAUAGCAACAAAGGAAAAUGCAAUGUCCACCAUGUUUAUCUCGUCUCCGCCGAAUAACUUUUUCACUCCGAUCAGCGCAUGUUCUUCCAUGACUUCCAACAUUUCCAACCACUCUUUCACUGCUGCCUGUUGUUCUUCGCCAUUGGCUCGAUAAAGCUUUAACAUUAAAUAACCCUGUUUUAAACAGAGAUAUGGGAUUUCUAGUAUGAGGCAUCAAAAGUUAUGUACAAUAAAAGAUUUUCAAAGAUUUCAACUAGGUUAAAAUAUGCUACAAAUCCUUUUAUUCUUUGUAUGUUUAAAAUUUAGUCCUCCUAUUUUUGUUUUAAGAAAUUUAAUCCCAUUACUUUUAAAUUUAAAAAGGGUUAAAUCACUUCACGGGGUUUGAACUUAGCAAGUACUCCCACAUUAGGGCAUGAACUUUUUUUUUGUUCAAAUUAGUCCUUAAACUUGACAAUUAUUCUCACGGUAUGGCCUGAUAAAAGUUACUUAUCACUUAAUAAAUAAUAUUUUUAAUUAACUCAAUUUUAAUUUAUUUAUUUUAAUAUUACGUUAUCCUAUAAAAACCUUAUGUUUAAAAUUUUAAUUAUGGUUUAGAAUAAGGUAAAAUGUUUAAAAAAUAAGAAUAAAAUGUAAAAUAUAUUUUUUUUAUAAUUCAAGAUCUAUAUUUAUCAAACAAUAUAAUUAUAUUCCGUAAUUAAUUUUAAGUAAUGUAUCAAACAAAUUUUAUAACUUAAAUUCGGCACGUAAAUUUUCAAUACUUAAUUUUUCAACCCUUAUUUUUUCUGCACUUUAUCUUUUAGUUUAUCAAAGAACACCUUAGUCCCUAUAUUUUCUUGAAAACCCUAAUAAGCCCCAACAUCGGAACAAUUGCCUAGUCCAAGCACUAGCAUGAGAACAAUUACCACAUUUAGGGACUAACUUGGACAAAAAAAAGUUCAAGCCUCAAUGUAGGAACAAUUACCUAAUUCAAGCCUUAACAUGUGACCCAAUAUGAGAAUUGUUGCCAAGUUCAGGCCUCAAAUAAUGAUUUAACCCAUUUAAAAAUGUAAAUAUAAUCGUAAACAUGAUUUUUUUGGAUUAAAUUCAAGUUCAUAACUCAUUUUUUUCGUUAUAUGACUACCAAAUGAAUAACUAUUUUUUUUAUUUCAAAAUAUCAUACCAAAAAAUUUAAUAAAAAAAUUAACUGUGUUAACAAUUGAGUUCGGGUUUAGAGUAAAAAAAUUACCAAUUUUAUAUGUCAAUGACAUGAAAAAAUUACUAAAAAUAUUAUUAAAUAAUUAGAAAUAGACAAUAGAUGAGGUGGUGGGAAAGGUCCAUAAAAUAGUUUCUCCCAAUACAACAUUUAAUAAAUAAUUUUGGCUAUAAAUAUAAAUAUAAAAAAUCAAUAAACGGGAAAAUCGUCAUAUGCAUCAAAUAAAUAAAUAAAAGGUUUAAUUGCAAAAUUAGUGUCUAAACUAUAUCAAUUUUCUCAUUUUAAGUACCUAAAAGUUUUGGUAAAAAUAUUCUUAAACUAUUAAUUUUAUUACAUUUUACCUAAAAAGUGCACGAUGGCAAUAAAACAUGCUACUGUAUUUUUGGUAAAAUAAGACAAAAUUAACCAUUUAAAAAUCAUUUUGCAAAGAAGAGAAAAAAAAUUAACUCUUAGACACCUAAGUGAUAAAUACGAUAUAGUUGGAGGGUUAAUUUUGUAUUUAAUCCAAAAAAGAAAAGAACAGAUUUGACCUUGUCAUCUGCAAAUUUGAUCCAAAACAGAGCAACAGCUCUGUCAUAGGGAUCAGCCGGCAGCAAGAGAUUCUGCGGCCAAAUUUCAUCGAUAUAUUGAAGGAUGACGGUGGAUUCACAGAUCGGUUUUCCGUCAUGAACGAGCACCGGGACUUGCUUAUGAAUUGGAUUAUAUUGAAGAAGCAAAGGACUCUUGUUGCGGAGAUCUUCGUCAAUAUAUUCGUAAGGUAUGCCUUUGAGUUUCAGAGCCCAAAUUACUCUGUAACCGUACGGGCUAAAAAAAGAUCCGAACAAUUUCAGGACCGCCAUGGUUGGGAGAUUAGUUCAGAGAUUCUGAGAGCGCUGAGUGCAAAUUUAUAAUAGGAUUACUGGUCAAAGAUUUGUCUAAGGUAACGAUGGUGACUGUUUUUUUUCAUGACAUAAAAAAGAGAAAUUGACAAAAAUUGUAGGCCCUAAGAGUUAGAAUUUGUCACUAUAACUUUUUUAUACAAAGAUGAAGUAUUAUAAAAGAUUUUAUAUAAUAAUAUCAUGCAUGAUGCUAUAUAAGAUUUUAUAAAAUAUUUUAUAUAAUAAUAUAAGGUAAUGUGAUGCAUGAUGCAUCUUUAUUAAUUGUUUUUUUUUUAAUUUGAAUAAAUGUUUUUAGAAAUAAAUUAGUGGUUAGUUGAAUUGAUUAGGUCAUUAGUUCGUCGAUUUAAUAAGUUCGAUAAAGAUAUAAUAAUAAAUUCAUAAAAAAUAAUAUUUAAGAAAUCCAGUUCAACCGUCAAUUUAAUUGAUUUUAUAACCGGUUCAAUCGAUUCGAUGUUUUUUUUUUUGAAUCUAUAUUUCGACCUGUUUCCAGUUCAACCGAACAAUCUAUCCUAUUUAAACACAAGUAAACACCCCAAUAUAAUUGAAUAUAUAUGUUUUUUUAUAAUUAAUGUACCAUAUAUAUUAAUUUUACCCAUGUGUUGAUUUGAUGAUCAAGGUGUUCACCGUCUCAGAUGUGAUCUGGGUUCAAGUCACGCUAAUCGCGUUGCUGUUUAGGACUUUGCUCUCCUCUUAUAAUUCGCCAAAAAAAGAUCAUUUAUCUUUGAUGUUUUAGCAAACGUGUCAUCAUGUCGAGGGAGCAUUUGACUAGAAAAUCAAACCUUGCUAAUGUGUCGUCGAUAUGUAAUAAGAGAAAAAUAUUUUAGAAUUGUUUUAGAACUAACUACUACUUAAAUUAUUCGAAAAUUCUAUUUUAUUAUAUAUUAUAUGUGUAUGUAUGCUAACAUAUAUAAUAAACAAAAAUAAAUAAAAUAAGAUUACUUCUUUUUUUAUGCUUCUUACUCGUUGAAUUCUGUAAUAAUCCAAUUUUUUGUAGUGUUGGAAAGUAAAAUAUCGACACUUCAUUUCUAUAAAUCAAAUUCGUAAAAUUCAUUAUUAAAUCACACCCAACAAGUUUGAGACCUUAAGAAUUUGUGUAUUGAAUUCACUAUAUAAACCAAUGGUUAAAUUAUGCUAUUAAUUUGUGUAUUUUGCAAAAGUUGUGAAUUUAGUCCUUGUACUUUCGGAACGGUCAUAUUUAGUAUCUCUACUUUUCGAAUUUUGAAGUUUUAAUCCUCACCCGAACAGUAGUGGUUAGAUCCAUUUGGUUAAAUUCAAUUACUAGUCGCCAUGUGUACAAUUGUAUAUUUAGUCCAUAUUAUGCAAUUGAAUCAUUCUAAGUCCCUAUACUUUUUUUUAAUUCUGAAAUUUUGGUCUUCAUGCAAAUAACAAUUGUCAAUCUAUUAAUUAGAUUUCGAAUGAGUAAUAUGUAGAAAUAACAAGCUGAUAAAGCAUUACACAUAUGAUGAUAUAUUUAUCGCAUCAAAAUUUGAAAAUAACAUAACAUAACUUAAUGAAUUUAUCAAAAAUUGCAAGAAAUAAAAAUGACCAAUAACUUUUGUAAAAUAUACGGAUUAAUAGUAAAAUUUGACGUAAACUAUAAUAUUUGAUAAUAUUUUUUUAAUUAUCUAUAUAUAACUUAACCCAAGUAUAAUUUAGCUAGCUCUUAAUUACUUAUAUAAGUGAACAUAUAUGUAUAUAAAGCUUAAUAAAAGUUUAUAUUUGGUAAAGUUGGUUGGACAUGGUAGCAUAGUCUUCACACCUAGAAGAAGUGUCAAAUUGGUCUAUAAUCCCUAUUUCACCUAAUUAUGCUAAUAGCCUUUCUAUUUAGCAAUGAAAUCUUGAUUGAGCAUUGACAUAAUGAAAUAUUAAUCAUAGAUAUAAAUAGGAAUCUCAUGUGAAUCUACCUUACUCUUUGAUGAUAUUUCUUGAUAGAAUAAUUCACGUGAUUUUAUCUCCUUCUUACUUGAAAAAAACAUUAAAAUAGUUGUUUCUUCAUGUGGGAGACGGUGAAAGUGGUAAAGGCAAGGCGCAAGGUUGUGCUUGUGACAACCUUGGGGAAGAUUUCGGUAAGUUUCCUUGAAAUUUACACACUGACUCGUUUACUUAAUUGCCAGGUUGAAGUAAUUAAACUAAUUGGUGACUUCAAUUAAGUUUUCUGAAUUUUAUGAAUAAACUGUGAAUUAGCUGCUGUUGAUUUUGGGUAUGUAGCAAAUCAAACGUGUUGGAAAUUUGAAGAAAUGGUUGUCCAAACUGACUGGUGUUUUCAUCUGACAUAUCAAGAAAUGAUUGUCUAAAAUGGCUGCUGUUUCCAGAACUUAUUAUAUCUGAUAUUUAAGAAAUGGUUGUCCUUAAUGACCGUUGUUUUCAUAAUUUAUUAUGUCUGACAUACGAAGAAAUGGUUGUCUAAAAUAGCUGUUGUAUUAUGUGUGAGUUUAAUUCAUUUCUUCUGAAUAAAAUUCGAUUCGUUUUAAAAUUUUGAUAAAAAAAUUAAAAAUUUAAAUUAAAUAGUUUUAAUUAAUCGAAUUAUUUGGAUCAACUCGAAUAAAAAAAUUUAAAUUUUUGGUUUAAUUCGAAUAUGAACUCAAAUAUGAAUUACACAAUUCGAGUUAUUUGAAAAUUUAAAUAAAAAAUACAAAAUUACGUCAUUUUGAUAAAUAUUUACUUCCUCUAAAGUUAAAAGAUAAAAUUACAUUGUUUUGAUAAAUAUUUACCCAUCAGCCUUAUUUUCUUUCUCAUGUGAUAUGAUUACAAAUGUGAUAUGAAAGGAUUAUAUUCUUAUAAUAUAAGUUAACAUAUUAAAUUUGCUUACGAACUUUUGUUUUGUAUUUAUAUCCUCAAAUAAUUUGUGUUUUGUUAUAAUAUUAGUUAUAGAAAUGUCACUGAGUUGAUUACUCAGCAUUCGGUUUGCUUUCCGUGCGCAGGUUAGGUUCAAUUGUGUGCACUCAUUGUUAUCAGCAUCCAGCAGAAAAUCUCACACUCAUCGAGUUGGUGAAACUCUUACUAUUUUGGUUGGCAUGUACUUAUAGGUUUUUAUGUUAUAUUAAGCUUAGUUAGAGAAUUAUUUCAUACUUUGAGACAUAUAAAUAGACAAGUUAAUUAAUGACUUUGAAUUAUCUUACUAUAAACAAGGAAUCACUCGAAAAUUAAUUAAUGACUAUGAAUUAUUAUUUUAUUAAAUAAUUGAAUUUUGAGGUGAAAUUUUAUUACUAUUUCAUCGUGACAAGUUAAUUAAAUUAAUUUGUUCAUAGAUUUUUAUCGAUAAAGUUGUCAUGAGUUUAACGAAAUUAGAAUUGAGUUGAAAAAAUAAUUUAGUUAAUUUAAUUAAUUAAAAGAAUAAAAAAUAUUUCGAGCAUAAAAAAUAUUUAUUGGAAUAAAAAUUAUAUGAGUUGGUUUAAAAACAAAACAACCCAUAUAAUUAACCCGAUAAAUAAAAAAUGCCCAAAUAGACCCGAUAUAGGAGGGAGGGGAUGCAAACCAGUAUAGACCCAUUGAACUAGAUUUUUAUUGUUUUUUAAUCUUGAUGAUUUAUUUAAACGAACUAGACAGACCAAUUGAAACUAUUAGACCAACAAAUCAAUAACUUGUUAUGUUUGAAUUCUGAAAACGUUCGAUAAAGAACAUAAGUGUUCAGAUCCUCUCAAAUAUCGGAUUACAUCUUCAACCUUAUGUGGAACAUUUAACACUUCCAUGGGAGAAAAUACAAUCAAUGUUCCAAACCCUAAUUCGAUUUUGAUGUGAACAACAUCUCUUUACGACGCUUCAAGUAAGCAACACAAGUAAACACCCCAAUAUAAUUGAAUAUAUAUGUUUUUUUUAUAAUUAAUGUAUCAUAUAUAUUAAUUUUACUCAUGUGUUGAUUUGAUGAUCAGGGUGUUCACCGUCUCAGAUGUGAUCUGCGUUCAAGUCACGCUAAUCGCAUUGCUGUUAGGACUUUGCUCUCCCCUUAUAAAAAAAAAAGAUCAUUUAUCUUUGAUGUUUUAGCAAACGUGUCAUCAUGUCGAGGGAGCAUUUGACUAUAAAAUCAAACCGUGCUAAUGUGUCGUCGAUAUGUAAUAAGAGAAAAAUAUUUUAGAAUUGUUUUAGAACUAACUACUACUUAAAUUAUUCGAAAAUUCUAUUUUAUUAUAUAUUAUAUGUGUAUGUAUGCUAACAUAUAGAAUAAACAAAAAUAAAAUAAAAUAAGAUUACUUCUUUUUUCAUGUUUCUUACUCGUUGAAUUCUGUAAUAAUCCGAUUUUUUGUAGUGUUGGAAAGUGAAAUAUCGACACUUCAUUUCCGUAAAUCAAAUUCGUAAAAUUCAUUAUUAAAUCACACCCAACAAGUUUGAGACCUUAAGAAUUUUUUUUAAAAACUUUUGAAAUUUGCAUGUUAAAUAGUUGUUUCUUCAUGUGGGAGACGGUCAAAGUGGUAAAGUCAAGGAGCAAGCUUGUGCUUGUGACGGUCAAAUUCAUGUUUCCUUGAAAUUUAUACACUUACUCCUUUACUUAAUUCCCAGGUUGAAGUAAACUAGUUGGUGACUUCAAUUAAGUUGUCUGAAUUUUAUGAAUAAACUGUGAAUUAGCUGCUGUUGACUUCGGUAUGUAGCAAAGAAAACGUGUUGGAUAAAUGAAGAAAUGGUUGUCCAAAAUGACUGUUGUUUUCAUAAUAUAUUUUGUCUGACAUAUGAAGAUAUGAUUGUCUAAAAUGGCUGCUGUUUCCAGAACUUAUUAUGUCUGACAUUUAAGAAAUGGUUGUCCAAAACGGCCGUUGUUUUCAUAAUUUCCGACAUAUGAAGAAAUGGUUGUCUAAAAUGGCUGUUGUUCGGUUAUGGUGUGAGUUUAAUUCAUUUCUUUCUUCAAUAGUUGGUUGUAUUCUUAUGUUGGUAAGUGGGGUGAAUAAAAUUCAAUUCGAUUUUAAAAAUUUGAUAAAAAAUUUAAAUUUUAAAUUAAUCGAGUUAUUUGCAUCAACUCGAAUAAAAAAUCAAUUUUUUUGGUUUAAUUCGAAUAUGAACUCGAAUAUGAACUCGAAUAUUACACAAUUUCGAGUUAUCUGAAAAUCUAAAUAAAAAAUACAAAAUUACGUUGUUUUGAUAAAUAUUUACUCCCUUCAAAGUUAAAAGGCAAAAUUACGUUGUUUUAAUAAAUAUUUACCCAUCAUCCUUAUUUUCUUUCUCAAAUCCCCCACUUUCGCUUUUUCCUUUACUCAAAAGUAACUUAAAAGCUUGUACUUCAUCUAUUAGUUGAAUAAUCAGUCCAUGUAAACGCAAUAUUGAGUAUAAAUAAUAGGAUUCAUUAACUAGACUCGAAUUUUUUUUACUCGAUUCAUCUCAAUUUAAAAAAAAAUACUAAUUGAGUUCAGUUGCUAAAAUAGUAUUUAUCAACUUGACUAACUUUUUUUUUUUACUCUAUUGAAUGCUCACCUCUACUGGUAAGUGGGAUCAAAUUUGAAGGAAAAGUUUUAAUGAUUGUCAGUUGUUGAGUGAGCUGUCGUGACAUGCAAAACCCAUGCAUGCUGUCCGAAUAUGACUUAUUGUUAUGAAAUUAAUGUCCUGCCGGAGUUGAUUAAAUAUUAAUGUCCUAUGCUGCAAUUAAAAGAUGUCAUAGUGCUGUAUCGUGUUUAAAAUCUGAGUAUUUAUGUUGUCUUAAAACAUUAUCUGUAUGGAUUAAUUACUGUAAUUUAAACCGUUUUAAUAAUGAAAUCGUGAUAUCUUAAAGCACAAAUUGUGGUUAAAAUGUAUAAAUCUGGGAGUAAAUCGAGUUUUAUUUGUGGAAUGACAUGUUAUUUUAGAAGUACAAAUUGAGUGUUGCUAAUGGUGAGUUCUUUCAGUUUUUAUCAAUUUAAGUGUAAUGUUUAAUUGAAUUUUUGAGUUUACAGAUCGGGAAUUUGAAGGUGAAUAUGUGACAACCUGUUGAUACGAUUACAAAUGUGAUAUGAAAGGAUUAUAUUCUUAUAAUAUAAGUUAACGUAUUAAACUAUUUACGAACUUUUGAUUUUUAUUUAUGUCCUCAAAUAAUUUAUGUUUUGUUAUAAUAUUAGUUAUAGAAAUGUCACUGAGUUGAUUACUCAGCAUUGCAGGUUAGGUUCAAUUGUGUGCACUCAUUGUUAUCAGCAUCCAGCAGAAAAUCUCACACUUAUCGAGUUGGUGAAACUCUUAUAUUUUGGUUGGCAUGUACCUAUAGGUUUUUAUGUUAUAUUAAGCUUAGUUAGAGAAUUAUUUCAUACUUUGAGACGUAUAAAUAUACAAGUUAAUUAAUGACUUUGAAUUAUCUUACUAUAAACAAGGAAUCACUCGAAAAUUACUUAAUGACUUUGAAUUAUUAUUUUAUUAAAUAGUUGAAUUUCGAGGUGAAAUUUUAUUACUAGGUCAUCGUGACAAGUUAAUUAAAUUAAUUUGUUCAUAGAUUUUUAUCGGUAAAGUUGUCACGAGUUUAACAAAAUUAGAAUUGAGUUGAGAAAAUAAUUUAGUUAAUUUAAUUAAUUAAAAGAAUAAAAAAUAUUUCGAGCGUAAAAAAUAUUUAUUGGAAUAAAAAUUAUAUGAGUUGGUUUAAAAAACAAAACAACCCAUAUAAUUAACCCAAUAAAUAAAAAAUGCCCAAAUAGGUCCAAGUUAGACAUUGUUUGAUAAACCACUAAGCAAAUUUAAUCAAUUAAAAACUAAUAUUUUCAAUGAUUAGUAUUUUACACAUGUUUGAUAAUCCAAAAUAAAAAAUAAUCCAAUAGAAUUUUUUUCUAUAAAAAAGUGUGGAAAAUGAUGAGUAAAUAAAAUUUAAUUAUCACUUAAUGGAGAAUAUUUUCAAUAAACUCAAUUUUAUUUUAUUUAUUUUAAUAUUAUGUUAUCCUAUAAAAACUAAAUGUUUAAAAAUAUAAAAAGUCAAAAAUAUCUAUAUAAUCUUAUAAGUUACUUAGUAGAUUAAAUAUUUUUUUAGUAAUUUCCUAAAUUGGGACAUAGUUGGUGGGUGACACCGACUCAGUAAAAAGCUUAAUAAAUAACUAGAAAUUCUAUCACACAUGUAUGCAUAGAGUACCACAAAUUUCGAAUGCAAAUGUAUGUUUAAGAAAUUAGCGUACAAUAAAUAAUGAAAUAUAUGAUUUGAAACUAAUUAAUAAUAACAUGUGAAACAUAUUUGAUGUUAAAAUGAAAAAAUAAAUAAAAAGUUGUUUAUCAUUUUGUUGUCUUCAAUCUUAAGUCAGUGUCGAGUUAACUUGUGACAUCAACUCAGUUAAAAGCUUUAUUAAUAUUAACUAUAUAUACAACUGGUGGAGGUAAUAAAACGUGCGUAAUAAAAUAAAAAUGUAUAAAAUUAUCAAAAUAAAACUUUAGUUGAAUGGUAAAUUAAAAACUUUAAUAGUACAAUUGGCAUGGGUUUAAUUCCUACCAUUUUUUAAAGUGACAAGAAUAAAUUAACCUUGAAUAAUAUUACUUAUUUUAAUUACGUAAAGGCCUUCUCGUAAUUUCCUAACCGAGUUGGUGCCUAGUGACUUGUGACACCAACUUAGUCAGUGCUUUAUUAAUACUAGAAAUCCUAUUACACGCGUAUGCGUGUGGAAACUACAAAUUUAGAAUACAAAUGUGUGUUUAAAAAUAACAUACAAUAAAUAAUAAAAUGUAUAGGUUGACACUAAAUAAUAAUAAUAACACGUGAAAUUUGAAGAUAUUAAAAUGAAAAUGAAUAGAUUAAAAUUCGACUUUCUAAUAUGUUAAAAGAAAUGGGAAAGGUAUGAUAACAGAGGGAGAAACAAAAGAGAAUGGAAAAAAAGAGGAAAGUUUAAAGAACAUAAAAGAAAAAAAUUAAAUUACUUAAAAUGAAAAAAAUAUGGGGAUCAAUUGUAUAAUUUAACCUAAAAUUUUGUUUGAAAUGAUGAUUUAACGUGCCACAUCAGCUUACCGUUACACCAUUAACAACGAUUAAUGGCUCAGUGAGUAAAAUGUUACAACAUGAUAACGUAAAUGACUAAAACGUAACAUUUCAAACAUAAGUGACUAAAACGUAACCUAAGGUAAACAAAAAUGACCAUGGGUGUAGUUUACCCAUCUUAAAAAGACUGGUGAUCAAAUUCUACUCUUUUGAAAAAAAUUUAAUCCCAGAUGUAACUAAAAAAAAAAGAGAAAUUGACCAAAAUUUUUGGCCUUAAAAGUUAGAAUUUGUCGCUAAGACUUUUUUAUACAAAGAUGAAGCGAUAAUGUUAGGACUUUGUUCUCCUCUUAUAAUUCAAAAAAAAAAAGAUAAUUUAUCUUUGAUGUUUUAGAAACGUGUCAUCAUGUCGAGGGAGCAUUUGACUAUAAAAUCAAACCAUGCUAAUGUGUCGAUAAAUAAUAAGUGAAAAAUAUUUUAGAAUUGUUUUAGAAAAUUCUAUUUUUUUUUAUAUUAUAUAAGUUCAACCGUCAAAGAUAGCAAAUCAAACGUGUUGGAAAUUUGAUGAAAUGGUUGUCCAAAAUGACCGUUGUUUUCAUAAUUUAUUAUGUCUUGACAUAUGAAGAAAUGGUUGUCUAAAAUGGCUGUUGUUCGGUUAUGGUGUGAGUUUAAUUCAUUUCUUACUCUUGUGUUGGUAAGUUAGGUGAAUAAAAUUUGAUUCGAUUUCAAAAUUUUGAUAAAAAUUUUAAAUUUUAAAUUAAAUUGUUCGAAUUAAUCAAGUUAUUUGGACCAACUCGAAUAAAAAUCAAUUUUUUUGUUUAAUUCGAAUAUGAACUCGAAUAUGAAUUACACAAUUCGAGUUAUCUGAAAAUCUAAAUAAAAAACACAAAAUUAUGCCGUUUUGAUAAAUAUUUACUUCCUCUAAAGUUAAGAGGCAAAAUUACGUUAUUUUGAUAAAUAUUUACCCAUUAGCCUUAUUUUCUUUCUCGAAUCCCCCCACUUUCCCUUUUUCCUUUAAUAAAAUUAACCUAAAAGUUUGUACUUCGUCUACUAGUUAAAUAAUCAGUCCAUGUAAACACAAUAUUGAAUAUAAAUAAUAGGAUUUGUUAACUCGACUCGACUUGACUCAAAAUUUUUUUUACUCGAUUCGACUCAAUUUUAAAAAAAAAGUACAAAUUGAGUUCAAUUGCUAAAAUAGUAUUCAUCAACUUGGCUAACUUAAAUUUUUUUACUCUAUUGAAUGCUCACCUCUACUGGUAAGGAUGAAAAUUGAGGGAAAAAUUUUGAUGAUUGUCAGUAGUUGAGUGAGUUGUCUGUGACAUGCAAAACCCAUGCAUGUUGUUCGAAUAUGACUUAUUGUUAUGAAAAACCUGGCUCUGAUACAAUGUUAAGAUGAUAAAAGAAAUAUGAAGAAUAUUUUCUACGUUUAUGAUUAUCUUUACAAAUGAAUAGAGCUACAGAAUAUAUACAGCUAAUGUGUAACUAAUUACAUUGCUAAUUACACUAUACAGCUCACUACUUUAACUAACUGUACACAAAUAACUAAUUUAGUUUUUUUCUACAAAGAUGUCAUAGUGCUGUAUCGUACGUGUUUAAAAUGUGAGUAUUUAUGUUGUCUUAAAACAUUAUUUGUAUGGAUUAAUUACUGUAAUUUAAACCGUCUUUAUAAUGAAAUUGUGAUAUCUUAAAGCAGUAAAUUGAGAGGAGUUUAUCGUGCUUUGGUGCCGUGGUUAAAAUGUAUAACUCUGGGAGUAAAUCGAGUUUUAUUUCUGGAAUAACAUGUUAUUUUAGAAGUACAAAUUGAGUGUUUCUAAUGGUGAGUUCUUUCAGUUUUUAUUGAUUUAUGUGUAAUGUUUAAUUGAAUUUUUUAGUUUACAGGUCGGGAAUUUGAAGAUGGAUAUAUAACAACCAGUUGAUAUGAUGACAAAUGUGAUAUGAAAGUAUUAUGUUCUUAUAAUAUAAGUUAACAUAUUAAUCUGCUUACGAACUUUUGAUUUUUAUUUAUGUCCUCACAUAAUUUAUGUUUUGUUACUAUAUUAGUUAUAGAAAUGUCACUGAGUUGAUUACUCAACAUUCGUGUUUGCUUUCCGUGCACAGGUUAGAUUCAAUUGUGUGCACUCAUUGUUAUCAGCAUCUAGCAGAAAAUCUUGCACUCAUCGAGUUGGUGAAACUCUUACUAUUUUAGUUGGCAUGUACCUAUAAGUUUUUAUGUUAUAUUAAGCUUCGUUAGAGAAUUGUUUCAUACUUUGAGACGUAUAAAUAGACAAGUACUUAAUUAAUGACUUUGAAUUAUCUUACUAUAAAAAAGGAAUCACUCAAAAAUUAAUUAAUGACUUGGAAUUAUUAUUUUAUUAAAUAAUUGAAUUUCGAGGUGAAAUUUUAUUACUAAUUCGUCGUGGUUUCAUAAGGACAAGUUAAUUGAAUUAAUUUGUUCAUAGAUUUUUAUCAGUAAAGUCGUCAUUAGUUUAACGAAAUUAGAAUUGAGUUGAGAAAAUAAUUUAAUUAAUUUAAUUAAUUAAAAGAAUAAAAAAUGUUUUGAGCAUAAAAAAUAUUUAUUGAAAUAAAAAUUAUAUGAGUUGGUUUAAAAACAAAACAACCCAUAUAAUUAACCUGACAAAUAAAAAUGCCCAAAUAGACCCGAUAAAGAUUGAUGAUCAAAUUCGACUCUUUUCAAAAAAAAAUAAUCCCAAUUUUAACUAAAAAAAGAGAAAUUGACAAAAAUUGUAGCCCUAAAAGUUAUGAAUUUAUCACUAAGAUAUUUUUUUUAUACAAAUAUGAAGUAUUAUUAAAGAUUUUAUAUAAUAAUAUAAGGUAAUGUCAUGCAUGAUGCAUCUUUAUUAAUUGUUUUUUUUAAUUUGAAUAAAUGUUUUUAGAAAUAAAUUAGUGGCUGGUUGAAUUGAUUAGGUCAUUAAUUCGUCGAUUUGAUAAGUUCGAUAAAGAUAUAAUAAUAAAUUCAUAAAAAAAAUAUUUAAGAAAUCCAAUUCAACAGUCAAUUUAAUUGAUUUUUUAACAGGUUCAAUCGAUUUGAUAUUUUUUUUAAAUUUAUAUUUUGACCUAUUUCCGGUCCAACCGAACAAUCCAAUCCUAUUUAAACACAAGUAAAAACCCCAUAUAUAAUUUUGAACCCCAUAUAUAAUUGAAUAUAUAUGUUCUUUUUUAUGAUUAAGGUAUCAUAUAUAUUUAUUUUACCCGUGUGUUGAUUUGAUGAUCGAGGUGUUCACCAUCUCAGAUGUGAUUUGGGUUCAAGUCAUGCUAAUCUUGUUGUUGUUAAGACUUUGCUCUCCUCUUACAAUUCACCAAAAAAAGAUAAUAUAUCUUUGAUGCAUCCACGUUGCCAAACUUUGUUGUUGGUAUGUGGAUUUCCAUCCUUUCAUGUUGCCAUAUUCUUUGACUUUAACCUUCUUGCAUAUUGUUGAGAUUCAUUGCUUUAAUUUCAUCUAAAUGCAAUGAGUCAGAUGAAAGUCUUGGUGAGUUACAAGCUUCCCACGUGCUUCUGAUUUGUUCCAGAAUGUGAGAUGGAUAAUCUUCAAAUUCUAUAUCAGCUAUCUUUUUUAAUAGCUUCAAAGAUUCUUCAUCUCUUUCUUCCUAGGUGUUUCCAGUGUAGUAUGCCAGUAUUCUUCUGCCAUCAGUCCAUAGAUGAUAAUUUUUUUGCUGGAAAAGAUCUUGGGCUGUUGCUAUUAUAUCAAUCCCUACUUGGGUUUGAUAAUAACUUGGAUCAUUAUAACACCUGUCAAUAUUUUUUGUCAAGUGUUCUUUGACCUCUUUUAUAGCGGAUAAUCAGGGACUUCCAAUUAUUCUUUGAAUAAUCCAUAUUUGAUAUGGCUGAUAAAAUUUUUCUUUUUCAGCUAUACCAAUUAAACUACUUAUUUCAAUAUGAAAAUAGUAGAAGAAAUCAUCAUUGUUUAUGAUGUUUUGUAAUUUAGAUUUUACCAUUGCUGGAAAAUCUUUUAAAUGAUGAAAAGAAAAGUUUUGUACAACUAUUUCUUUUACAAAACCCCAUUCAAUACUUGUUAUAUCGAACGGUUCGUGAUCCAAUCUAAAUUUUAUAGUUGGAAAACUUUCUCCUAUAAAAUUGGUAAAAACAUAAGAUUAUAGAAAAUAUUCAGAAAAAGAUUUUUCAAAUUGUCUACUGGUUGUAGAUAACUCUAUUUAUUUUAGAAAAUAUUUCUAGAGGUAAAAUCUGUCUAGAUUUAUUAUAUAAAUAGAUCCUAAAUACCUUAUUCACAAUAGGACUGUUUUUCCCUUUAUGAAUAAAAUAUUAAAUUAUAUCAAGAAGAUUAUUUAUCUCCUUAAUAUCCAUAAUAAAGAGUUGGAAUUCAUCCCAAUCUAUGUAUAAAAUAGAUUUUAAUAAUAAAUCUUCAGCUUCAUUUUCCUUAGUUGUUUUUUCAACUUAAAGUAAUGAAAAUGGUGUAAGAGCUCUCCUGAAAUUUGCUCUUUGAUUUAAAAUAUGGGUUUUCCAUAUUUCGUUUAUAAAAUUAUAAAAUUCUGGCGGUAUACCAGGACUAAAAAAAUCUUUUAUUUCUGGAAAUUGUUGUUGUUUCAACAAAUUUUCUGCAUCCUUAAUAAUAUCAGCAUAACUGGUUUGAAAUGCCGAAUUUGGAUCUUGGAACCAUUGUGAUUGACUUACUGUUUUUGGUGUCAAUGACAAACAAGUUCCAAUUGGUUGAUUUACCAUUGGAUAUGGCACAUAAUGUCCUUGAUUAGGAUAAAAUGAUAUUUGUGCAGGUACAAAUCCUUGUUUGGAAUUUGUUGUUGUUUUCCCUUUGUUAGGCUUUUUGUGAAUGGUAGUCCAUGUAGCGACCUAAAAAUUUGGAUACGAUGGCACGGGCGCUAGUCGAAAUAAUUAUUGAAAAAUUAAAAACAUCGUCUCGAUUUUAUUUGCAAAAGGAGUUGCCACCGAUCUUUUUUAGGUGUGAUCGGACACCUAAUAAAUUCUCUUUUUAGAAGAAAUAUUUAUUUUUAAAUUUUCCUAAAAAGAGGUAAUUUUAGGUCUGCGUGAAAAUCCAAAGAAAAUUAGGGUUCGGGAGUCGGUUAUCGCGAGGAAGGUAUUAGCACCCUCGCGACGCCCAAAAUUGGUAUCUCGUUAAACGCGCGUUUUCUUAAUUUUCAAAAAUACAAGUUCAAUUUAAUAUUUAAUUGUGAUCCGAUUGAAACUUGAGAAAACCUUUUUUUUUGUUUUUAAACACGAGAACUUUGAAACACAAUAAUAAUUUUUGAAAACACGAAGAUUUUUGAAACACGAAAUUUUUUUGACACGAAAAAUUUUGAAAACACGAAAAUUUCGAAAACUUGAAUUUUUUUUUAAACAUGAUUUUUUUUUAAAAAACACGAGAAUUUUUUGAAAACACGAAAGCACGAAAAUUUUGAAAACACGGGAAUUUUUUUAAAACACGAAAAUUUUUGAAACAUGAGAAUUUUUUGACACGAAAAUUUCGAAAACAUGAAUUUUUUUUAAAAUACGAAUUUUUUUAAAAAACAUGAAAACAUGAAAAUUUUGAAAACACGAAAAUUUUUGAAACAUGAGAAUUUUUUGAAAACACGAAAAAAUUUUUAAACAUGGGAAUUUUUGAAAACACGGAAAUUUUAAAACAUGGAAACUUUAAAAACACGAAUUUUUUUUUAAAACACAAGAUUUUUAUUUUUUUAUUUUUUUAAAUACCGUAUUUAACACGAACCGGUGACAUUCACCCCGUUAUGGCGAUGAAACCAUCGAAUUAGUGUUAACUCAAUUCAAUUUAAUAUUUAAUCGGGAUUCUAAUAAAACACGAGAAUUUUUAUUAAAAUACGAGGAUUUUUGAAUAUUUUUAUUUUUAAAAGGGCGUCCCGAAUUUAACACGAGCUAUCGAUAUCCACCCAACAUAGCGAUAAAUUUGAUGACUCGAUGCUAAAUCGGUUCGUUGCCUUAUGCAUUAAAAUAUUAUUUUUUUUAAAAUAUGCAAUUAAAAUGACAUAAUAAUAUUUAUGAAAACUAUUUUUAAACAUACUAAUUUAAAUUAAAUAAAACACCAUUUAAAUACAUUAAAUAAAAUAAAAUAGAUUAAAAAGAAAAAAAAAUUACCCAAAAAGGCCCUUUUCCUUUUUUUCGGUUUGGGCCUCAGUUGGCCCGCUUCACUGCUGCAAUCGGCCCGCUGGAGCUGCUGGGGUAUUGGGCCUGCACUGGGUCAAGUCCAUUGCCCCCCCGACUGCUGGUGGCUUACCAAAACCCCGCUGCUGUUUUUAUUUUUUUAUUACUUUUUUCUCUCUUUUUCUUCCUCUUUUUUUCUUCUUCUCUUCUUCUUGUCUCAAAGCCUUGGCCCUUCUUUUUCACCGCCGUCGAUGUCUCCUGGGUGCGGUGGUUGGACGUUCGCCGGCGUUCUCCUUUCCCUCCUCUCUUCUUCUUCUUUCUUCACUUCUUUCUACUUUACUUUUUGUUUUUGCUUGCUUGCUGCUAUUUUCCUUUCUUUUGUUUAUGCUUGCACAUUUCUUAGCUUGACUUCGGCGAGGAGCAACGAUGAUCGUUGCACGGCGAUCGUGGUGGCGUGGGUACGGUGGCGGUGAGCGUGGGAUCGGCCCAUGGGAGUAUUUUUUGCUGCUGGAAUUUUCUGCUAUUUUUUUUGCUUUGGUUGCCGAAAAUCCUCCUCCCUUCUCUUCAAUUUUUUCUUUUUAAAAGCUCCAAAUUUUGUCCUCUUUCUCAUUGUUUGCAGGUGGCAGAGGAGCCAUGAUGGCCUAGGGGGGCUGCUGGAGUAGCUCGGCUGGGAGGGGUACGCUCGGCUGGUGCAGCGGCGAUUAGACAAGUCCAGAAGGACUAAAUUGCAUAGGAUGCAAAGCUUCUGGGGCAAAAGUGUAAUUUUAGCAAAAAUAUGGGCCAAAAUGUAAUUUCUUGAGAGUUUAGGGGUCAAAGUGAAUUUUUGAGAAAGUCUAAGGGUCAAAAUGUAAUUUUAGAAAGUUUUGGGUCAAAAUGUAAAUUUUAGAAAAGUUUAGGGUUAAAAUGUAAAUUUUGAAAAGUACAGGGGUUAAAUGAAAAAAUAAAAAAUUCUUUUUUUUUCAAACACGAAAUUAAUCUCGGACAAAAUUCAGUGAUUACAGCUGCCCCUCUUUGCUCAUCGCUAUGAAACAGGGAUAGAGCAAAGACUAAAAAGCACUGAAUUUUGUUCGACCAUCUAAAAUUUUCCUCUUUAUUUGAAAAGCAGAAAUCGAGAACAGCUCGGCGUGCGACCCGAGACUCAACUCACCUCUUGAAUUAUGAGUUGAUCUUCGAAAAACAAAAAUCGAAAAUACCUCGACAUGUGCCCCGAGGCUCAACUCACCUCUCGCAAUAUGAGUUGAUUUUUGAAAAACAUGAAUUGAAAAAUACCUCUGCGUGACCCGAGGCUCAACUCACCUCUCGCAAUAUGAGUUGAUUUUUUGAAAAACAUAAAUUUAAAAGAAAUACCUCGGCAUGGUCCAAGGCUCAACUCACCUCUCGCAAUAUGAGUUGAUUUUUUUGAAAAACAUAAAUUNNNNNNNNNNNNNNNNNNNNNNNNNNNNNNNNNNNNNNNNNNNNNNNNNNNNNNNNNNNNNNNNNNNNNNNNNNNNNNNNNNNNNNNNNNNNNNNNNNNNUGAAGUAAACAAAAUUAAAAAAAAUACCUCAGCGUGACCCGAGGCUCAACUCACCUCUGUAUUAUGAGUUGAUUUCUUGCAAAAAACAGAAUUUUAAAAAUAUUUCUUGAAAGAAACAAGGUUUCAAAAAACAUCAGGUGAAACUAAAAGCCUUCAUCUUCACUGAUUCUGUGCAGCUUUCUCCUAGUAUUCCUUGCUCUACCGGUAUACCUGUAUACGUCAUGUAUGAUGUUAUUACGAUAUGCACAUGUUUGUCCUAAAUGCUUUUGUGUCUACAUGAUCAUGCAAUGCACCGUAGGCUAUUUGUCACGUGCCCCACUUUUGAUUUUUGUGAGGGUCCGCAUUCAUUUCCUCAAUUCUUGACUUUUCUCUCUAAUUUUGUACUCAUCCUCAAGUUCUGUGAGUAAUCUACAUUUCUUCGUAUAUCGCUCUCUUGCCCCCUGCUGAACAUUGUUCCUACUUUGGGGCCCUUAUAUUUAUCAAAUUCUCAUCCAGGUAAUGCUCAACAUUCCUUUUGUUUAGAGUAUGUCAUCUUACUAUUUAUCAUUUAAAUGAAUCAAACACAAGAUGCAUGACAAAAGUGGCAAAGUAGGCAUGAAAGAAAUACCUCACAUUCAUUUUUUAAAGCAACGAAAGAAAUUGACAAGGAAAGUUCAACAAAUAAAUUGUCAUAAAGAAAAGAAAGCGAAUUCAAUGGCCAGAAAUGCUCUAGAUAUCCAAUGCAUGAACUUUCCACGUUUCUUCAUCCUGGAUCUUUUCGAGCACGGCUUCUUGUGUAGAAGAUUUUGAGCUUCUGAGAAUGCUUCAAAUAUUGUAACCUUGCCAUUCGACUCCCUGUUCAAGUCGCCUUGCUCCUUAAGUCCGAGCCCACUUUGUUAGGACGCCCUUUUGGGUUUUCAUCCUAAUCUUUUUUGUUUAUCAAGACGCCCUUUUUGGGUUUUCAUCUUGAUUUUUCUUUUUCUUUUCUUUGUUUUUUUUGUUUUUAUUUUUGUUUUUGUUUUUUUAUUUUUUUUGUCCCUUUUUUUAAGCAUAAUAUUUCUUCACAGCAUCUGAGUUCACUGGAUUAGGUAAUUCUUUCCCAUCCAUUUCAGUAAGAAUCAGAGCCCCUCUUGAGAAUGCCUUUUUUACAACGUAUGGUCCUUCCCAAUUUGGUGACCAUUUUCCUUGAAAGUCCUUUUGUAUCAGGAGGAUCUUUCUUAAAACGAGUUCCCCUUCGCGAAAUUCUCUUGGUCGCACAUUAUUAUCAUGGGCCGUGAUCAUUCUCUCCUGGUACAUCUGUCCAUGACAAAUUGCCUUCAAGCAUUUCCCUUCAAUAAGGUUUAGCUGGUCAUAUCGAACUCGAACCCAUUUCGAUUCUUCUAAUUUUGUCUCCAUCAUGACUCACAAGGAUGAGAUCUCUACUUCAAUAGGCAAAACGGCUUCCAUUCCGUAGACUAAUGAGAAAGGACUUGCUCUCGUAGAUGUCCGCACGGAGGUGCGGUACGCAUACAAAGCUAAUGGUAGCUUCUCGUGCCAAUCUUUAUAUGUCUCACUCAUCUUUCCGAGAAUCCUCUUAAUGUUUUUGUUGGCCGCUUCAACAGCUCCGUUCAUUUUCGGGCGAUAGUGUGAGGAAUUAUGAUGUUUUAUCUUGAAUUGCUCGCACAUUUCUUUCAUCAUUUUGUUGUUCAAAUUUAAAGCAUUAUCUGAGAUGAUUCUUUCAGGCAGACUAUGUCGACAUAUGAUUUCCUUUUUUAAGAACCUACAGACCGUAGCCUUCGUCAUAUUAGCAAACGAAGUGGCUUCUACCCAUUUUGUGAAGUAGUCUAUAACCACAAAGAUGAAUCGAUGUCCAUUGGAAGCUUUCGGGGAAAUCGGCCCUAUAACAUCCAUGCCCCACAUAGAAAAGGGCCACGGAGAAGUCAUGACAUAAAGGGGCGAUGGAGCUGCAUGAAUUUUAUCGCCAUAAAUUUGACACUUAUGACACUUUCGUGCGUAGCCAAUGCAAUCCCUUUCCAUCGUCAACCAAUAAUAACCAAGUCUCAUAAUCUGUCUAGCCAUGGUGAAACCACUAGCAUGCGUUCCACAAAUUCCCUCCUGAACCUCCUCAAGUAUCUUUCUAGCUUCAACAGUGUCCACACAUCUCAUGAGCACUUGAUCUUUCCCUCUUUUGUAUAGAAUAUCCCCGUCAAGAACAAAUCCAAUCGCCAUUCUUCUGAUUGUUCUUUUAUCAUUCUCGUUUGCUUGCUCGGGGUACCUUUGAUUCUUGAUGUACUCUAGGAUAUCAUGGAACCAUGGUCGUCCAUCGGACUUAUUCUCAUACUCAUGCUCGAGAUAUCGCGCUCCCCUUUACUGACUCUUGGCUCUCAUAUACAAUGUCAUACUCAGACAAUAGGAUCUGCCAUCGUGCCAUUCUCCCUCAUAUUCUGUGAACUUUUUACUGAGGCAGUAAAUUAUCUUUUCUCUUUUUCCUGACUCAUCAUGUUGCCCCAGCAUUCUUCAAUUCAAAUGGCAUCACUUUGUAGCAGAACGUUUCCCAUAUUGUGACGAAUGUGGUUUUCUCCAUAUAUUCGGAAGCCAUCUUUAUCUGAUUAUAACCUGAGAAACUAUCCAUGAAAGAAAAUGAAUAAUGUUUUGUCGUGUUAUCCUGGCAUGUCUUGAUACGACCAAACAAAUAUAUCUUUGUACUCACGGAGCAAGGCGAUUAAAUUCUGUUUGGUGUUCUCCGAAACGGAAGUCCUAAUCUUCAGUUCUUGUUUCUUUUCUUCACUCCCUAAGUUCACUGUCUCAACAGAUUCUUGAUGAGGUAAAAUCUGUUUCUCUUCUUGUUCAACUAUUCUCUGUAAGUCAGGAGGCAGGUCACAAUUUUCAGCAUCUUCCUUGGCUUCGAAUUCUCCUAAACAAAUAGCCUUCUUGAAAUUAAUUUCAGGAUUUGUAACGGGAUUAUUCCUGCCAUAGAUAUCUGAGCACCUAAAAGAUGGGUAGAAAAGACAGCUAUAGAGGAGUAUCAAAGUAUUAGAAUCAACACUCAAUGAUAUGAUAUGGUAUGAAAUACAUAUAGGAGAAUGAUGUGAAGAGAAGUGAUAGUUACGAGACUAGUAGAAAUAAAAAGACCAUGACAAAAUGCAUCUUCAUCGAUGUUCAUUGAAAUGAUAAAGAGCAAGCAUAUGCUCUUACAAAAGGAAUCCCACUAUCUAGGGAUAUACAAAAUAAUGGAGAAUUAUCAUUGAGCAUUACUCUAGAGGGGAAUCAAAAACUACAAGGAGGUCCACAGAAGUCUAAUUGUUCAAAACAUAUCCUGGAGGACAAUGGCGUAUCAUUGAAACAUCCCCAAUUGCAUCACCCUCGUUGUCAACAACAUUUAUGCUGAUGUUCUAAAAUCCCUUUUCAUUUAAGGCGCUUCGCAGAUUGUUUUGCCCCUCAUCUUCAUUCGUUACCGAAUUCACAUUCCCAUCAGCAUGGUUAGGAAAAGGGCUUCCAGCCUCAUUACUAACACUAUCAAAUCGUAAAAUGCCCGCAUUGAUAAGAUCUUGAACCCUCCUUUUAAAGGCAAGGCAAUUUUCUGUAGAAUGCCCCUGAUUUCCAGCGUGAUACAUGCAACUAGCAUUAGGAUCAUACCAUUUUGGGUAUGGAGGCUUCAGGGGUGCCAUGUAAUGUGGUGAUAUUAAUUGAUUCUCUAAUAGUUUCGGGUAUAAUUCUCUAUAUGACACAGGAAUUGGGGUGAACUGAGGUCUCUCAGGAUUAGAUCUUGCUGGUCUUGCUCAUUUUUGGGUUGGCUUUGUGUGGGCAUGGUAUUUGGUGGGAACAUGGUGAACGGUCUUUGGUUGUUCAUGGCAUAAACGGGGUAAAGAGGAGGUGUUUGACAAUAAGGACUUUGGGAGGGAAAGUAGAAGUUUGAAGGCGGGCGAUAACGAGUUCGUGGUUGGGCUGGAUGCGGAUUGGAGGUAUAGUGGCUCUCAGUUCCGACCAUAUGGGUUUCUGCCUCUUUAUUCCUUACAGGUACUGUCUUUUUUGAACUUUCAGGGCCUUCCAUCCUCCCAUUCUUGAUGGCGUUUUCUAUAAGCUCCCCAGAUAUUACAAUGUCCUUUGUGGCACUUCCUACCAACUUAUCGUAAAAUGACACUUUCAGAGUAUUAAUGAAGAGGACCGUUAUCUCCGUCUUAGUUAACGGGGGUUCCACCUGAGCUGAGAUAUCCCUCCAUCUUUGUGCGUAUUGUCUAAAGGUCUCUGUCGGCUUUUUUUCCAUCAUUUGCAAAGUUAGUCGAUCAGGCACCAUAUCUGAUACAUGCUUGUAUUGCUCACAGAAUGCUGAUGCUAAGUCCUUCCAUGAUCGGAUCCUCUCUCUGCUGAGCUGAUUAUACCAUCGAAGAGCCGAUCCAACUAAACUGUCCUGAAAACAGUGUAUCAGCAAUUUAUCCUCAUUCACGUAAUCAGUCAUCUUCCGACAAAACAUGACGAGAUGCGCCUUUGGACAUCGCGUCCCAUCAUACUUUUCAAAAUCUGGUGCCUUGAAUUUUGAGGGUAGAACCAGAUCGGGCACCAGACUGAGUUCUUUAGCACUCAAAGCAGAGAAGACUUCAGCACCUUCUAUUGCCUUGAGCCUUUCUUCUAAAAUCUGGUAUCUAUCUUGACCGUCAUAAUCAUUAGUUUUCAAUUUUGCUAUUUCCACAGGAUCGUCCAGAUCUGGAACAAAUGGAUAUGCUGGAUUAACCCCGGAGUUCGAUACCAACAUACCUUGCCCCAAAUGAGCAGAUGGUGCAGGACGUUGUUCCAGGAUUGUAUGGGCGUGAGGUGGAGUAAAUCCUGGGGGAUAGAGUGGAUCCUGAUCAUUAUUAGCUCUUGACUAGGGCUCCAUGAUAUCAUGGCUCUGCAUGGGUCCCUUUCCUUUUACUAAAGCUGUCGUCAUUUCCAUCAUUUUAGCCAUUUGGUCUCUUUGCUCGAGUGAUUCUUCUCGAGAUCUCACCAUCAUAUCUGUUGCCUCUUAUUGUGACUUGGCCAAUUGCUCUUGUAACUCUCUUUGGACCCUUUCCAUCCUUUCGAUUUUUUCGUUAAGUUCAGCGUCCAUAGCUCUAGUUCUUAGACGUGUCCUGUAAAGAUGAUGUGAUUCCAGCCUUGUAGUACCGCCACUGUGGAUUAUGCGAUUUUUGCCUCAGUGAAUGGUAAGGGUGAUAUGUACAUGCAAUGCAUGAAUGAAUGAAUGACAAGUGAAUAUUAGUCAUGAAUAAAUAUACAAGUAUUUGGUGUUGAUUUCAAGACAGCCCCAUAUUUUGGCGUUUCAUUAAUCAAAAGAGUCCAUUACAAAAGAUUUGGCCAAUGAAGAUACCCCUAGUGCCUGAGUCUCAUUGUUUCCAAAUCCUAAUCAAGUAUUCGCGGUUAUUCUGACGAUGCUUUUUGGGUCCUCAAAGAUCAGUCUCAGACUAUAACAUUUUCCUCAAUUACUUGCGUAAUUGAUUCCUCCAUCAAAAACCCGUUUUUGGCAACCAAUCUCUAAUCAACACCAUCCUAAUGAGAUGCCUAUGAUGCAUGAUGAAAAAUAAAAUUAAGACAAAUAAACCUAGUUAGCAAUCACGGCAAAUAUAAACAAAGAAAAACUAUGGAAAAUCUAACAAACCGACCUAUUUUUUUUUUGUUUUAUCCCAUCAUGCUUUACAAAAAUAAACUUACCCCAUAUGCUCAUCAAUCUACCCGAUCAAAUUUAUUAAACAGACCAAAUUCCCUUGCAAAAAGUGUAAAUGUGAAAGAAAUAAAAGGUAAGAGGCGUUUCUCCCGUGUAUUUAUUUUGGUGACUAUUCAUCGGACAGAGGUUCGGCAUGACUCUAAUUGGGUGGCUCGUACGGUUCACUAUAUGUGGCUUUGGUUCUAGAGAGGUACUCGAAUUGUCCAUACUGUCACCUACUAAGGUUAGUACGAAGUCUCGGUUAUCGCCCGUCAUGGGCUUGCGAGCUCAAUUCUAGGGAUUACAUUUACUUAUGCCUAUGCGGAGGGACGAGUUAACUCACGAAAACAUAAGUCAUAUGUAACCCGGAAGUAUUUCACUAGCCUGUGCGGAGGGACGAGUUAACUCACGAAGGCGUAGCGUUUACUUCCACUUAAACGGAUGGAGCCCGGGUAGAGAGCUCAUGUUAUGCAAGAAUGCAAGUGCAUGGUGUGUGGGGAGAAACUCACAAACCUUUUUAUUUUUAUUUUUACUAAAAAAACAAACUAAAACCAUAAAACUUAAAGCUGAAAAAAAACACGAAAAUAAAACAGGUUAGAAAAAUAUUAAUUUCAAAACCGGAUGUAGAUGCAUGAUUUUUCAAAACAAAAUUCAAGGAUCACGAUUAAAAAUUAAAUUGAACAAGAAAUUUUAAAAAUUUUGACAACACGCGUUUAACAUCAGACUCGACUCUAAAAAAAAUGUCCCCAGCGGAGUCGCCAGCUGUAGCGAUCUAAAAAUUUGGGUACGAUGGCACGGGCGCUAGUCGAAAUAAUUAUUGAAAAAUUAAAAACGUCUCGAUUUUAUUUGCAAAAGGAGUCGCCACCGAUCUAUUUUAAGUGUGAUCGAACACCUAAUAAAUUCUCUUUUUAGAAGAAAAAUUUAUUUUUAAAUUUUCCUAAAAAAGAGGUAAUUUUAGGUCUGCGUGAAAAUCCAGAGAAAAUUAGGGUUCGGGAGUCGGUUACGCGCGAGGAAGGUAUUAGCACCCUCGCGACGCCCAAAAUUGGUAUCUCGUUAAACGCGCGUUGUCUUAAUUUUCAAAAAUACAAGUUCAAUUUAAUAUUUAAUUGUGAUCCGAUUGAAACUUGAGAAAACCUUUUUUUUUGUUUUUAAACACGAGAACUUUGAAACACAAUAAUAAUUUUUGAAAACACGAAGAUUUUUGAAACACGAAAUUUUUUUGAAAACACGGAUUUUUUUUUGAAAAUAAGGAAAUUUUCGAUACAUGAGAAUUUUUUGACACGAAAAAUUUUGAAAACACGAAAAUUUCGAAAACUUGAAUUUUUUUUUAAACAUGAAUUUUUUUUUAAAAAACACAAGAAUUUUUUGAAAACACGAAAGCAUGAAAAUUUUGAAAACACGGGAAUUUUUUUAAAACACGAAAAUUUUUGAAACAUGAGAAUUUUUUGACACGAAAAUUUCGAAAACAUGAAUUUUUUUUAAAAUACGAAUUUUUUUAAAAACACGAGAAUUUUUUUGAAAACACGAAAACAUGAAAAUUUUGAAAACACAAAAAUUUUUGAAACAUGAGAAUUUUUUGAAAACACGAAAACACGAAAAAAAAUUUAAACACGGGAAUUUUUGAAAACAAGAAAUUUUUUUUUAAAAACACGGAAAUUUUAAAACAUGGAAACUUUAAAAACACGAAAUUUUUUUUUAAAACACAAGAUUUUUAUUUUUUUUAUUUUUUUAAAUACCGUAUUUAACACGAAUCGGUGACAUUCACCCCGUUAUGGCGAUGAAACCAUCGAAUUAGUGUUAACUCAAUUCAAUUUAAUAUUUAAUCGGGAUUCUAAUAAAACACGAGAAUUUUUAUUAAAAUACGAGGAUUUUUGAAUAUUUUUAUUUUUAAAAGGGCGUCCCGAAUUUAACACGAGCUAUCGAUAUCCACCCAACAUAGCAAUGAAUUUGAUGACUCGAUGCUAAAUUGGUUCGUUGCCUUAUGCAUUAAAAUAUUAUUAUUAUUAUUUUUUAAAUAUGCAAUUAAAAUGACAUAAUAAUAUUUAUGAAAACUAUUUUUAAACAUACUAAUUUAAAUUAAAUAAAACACCAUUUAAAUACAUUAAAUAAAAUAAAAUAGAUUAAAAAGAAAAAAAAUUACCCAAAAAGGCCCUUUUCCUUUUUUUCGGUUUGGGCCUCAGUUGGCCCGCUUCACUGCUGCAAUCGGCCCGCUGGAGCUGCUGGGGUAUUGGGCCUGCACUGGGUCAAGUCCAUUGGUGGUGGACUGCUGGUGGCUUACCAAAAAUGGGCUGCUGUUUUUAUUUUUUUAUUACUUUUUUCUCUCUUUUUCUUCCUCUUUUUUUCUUCUUCUCUUCUUCUUGUCUCAAAGCCUUGGCCCUUCUUUUUCACCGCCGUCGGUGUCUCCUGGGUGCGGUGGUUGGACGGUCGCCGGCGUUCUCCUUUCCCUCCUCUCUUCUUCUUCUUUCUUCACUUCUUUCUACUUUACUUUUUUUUUUGCUUGCUUGCUGCUAUUUUCCUUUCUUUUGUUUAUGCUUGCACAUUUCUUAGCUUGACUUCGGCGAGGAGCAACGAUGAUCGUUGCACGGCGAUCGUGGUGGCGUGGGUACGGUGGCGGUGAGCGUGGGAUCGGCCCAUGGGAGUAUUUUUUGCUGCUGGAAUUUUCUGCUAUUUUUUUUGCUUUGGUUGCCGAAAAUCCUCCUCCCUUCUCUUCAAUUUUUUCUUUUUAAAAGCUCCAAAUUUUGUCCUCUUUCUCACUGUUUGCAGGUGGCAGAGGAGCCAUGAUGGCCUAGGGGGGGCUGCUGGAGUAGCUCGGCUGGGAGGGGUACGCUCGGCUGGUGCAGCGGCGAUUAGACAAGUCCAGAAGGACUAAAUUGCAUAGGAUGCAAAGCUUCUGGGGCAAAAGUGUAAUUUUAGCAAAAAUAUGGGCCAAAAUGUAAUUUAUUGAGAGUUUAGGGGUCAAAGUGAAAUUUUGAGAAAGUAUAAGGGUCGAAAUGUAAUUUUAUAAAGUUUUGGGGUUAAAAUGUAAAUUUUAGAAAAGUUUGGGGUCAAAUUGUAAAUUUUGAGAAGUAUAGGGGUUAAAAUGCAAAAAAGUAAUAAAAUUUCUUUUUUUUUUUUCAAGCACGAAAUUAAUCCCGGACAAAAUUCAGUGAUUACAGUCCAUUCACCAACUAUUAGAGGUCUUUUUACCCCUGUCCAUAGGACCUGCUAAGAUAGUCAACAAUUAUUAGUACAAUAAAUAUUUGAUACUAAUAAAUUAUUUUAAUUUAAUUUUACACCAAUUUUAUUUUUUUCUACUGUAUUUUCAUAGUAAUUGUUUUCUACAGACAACCUAAUAAAAUUUCUAUCAGAAAUUUCCGAUUAGACUUCCUAGUUUAAUUUCUAGCAGAAAAUGACUGUUGUUUUCAUAAUAUAUUUUAUCUGACAUGUGAAGAAAUGAUUGUCUAAAAUGGCUGCUGUUUCCAGAACUUAUCAUGUCUGACAUUUAAGAAAUGGUUGUCCAAAAUGAACUUGUUUUCAUAACUUAUUAUGUCUGAUAUUUGUCUAAAAUGGCUGCUCUUUCCUGAACUUAUUAUGUCUGAUAUAUGAAGAAACGGUUGUCUAAAAUGGCGUUGCUUGGUUACGGUGUGAGUUUAAUUCAUUUCUUUCUCGAAUGGUUGGUUGUAUUCUUAUUUUGGUAGGUGAAGUGAAUAAAAUUUGAUUCAAUUUCAAAAUUUUGAUAAAAGAUUUUAAAUUUAAAUUAAAUAGUUCAAAUUAAUCGAGUUAUUUGGAUCAAUUCGAAUAAAAAAAUCAAAUUUUUUGGUUGAAUUCGAAUAUGAACCCGAAUAUGAAUUACACAAUUCGAGUUAUCUAAAAAUCUAAAUAAAAAAAUAUAAAAUUACGUCGUUUUGAUAAAUAUUUACUUCCUCUAAAAUUAAAAGGUAAAAUUACGUUGUUUUGAUAAAUAUUUACCCAUCAACCUUAUUUUCUUUCUUGAAUCCCCCCACUUUCCCUUUUUCCUUUACUCAAAAUUAACCUAAAAGUUAGUACUUCAUCUACUAGUUAAAUAAUCAAUCCAUGUAAGCGCAAUAUUGAGUAUAAAUAAUAUGAUUCGUUAAAUCGACUUGACUUGACUCGAAAUUUUUUUACUCGAUUCGACUCAAUUUUAAAAAAAUACAAAUUGAAUUCGAUUGCUAAAAUAGUAUUCGUCAACUUGACUAACUUAAAUUUUUUUACGCUAUUGACUGCUCACCUCUACUGAUAAGUGUGAUGAAAAUUGAGGGAAAGGUUUUGAUGAUUGUCAGUUGUUGAGUGAGAUAUCGUGACUUGCAAAACCCAUGCAUGCUGUCCGAAUAUGACUUAUUGUUAUGAAAAUAAUUAAAUAUUAAUGUCCUAUGCUGCAAUUAAAAGAUGUCAUGGUGCUGAAUCGCGUUUAAAAUGUGAAUAUUUAUGUUGUCUUAAAACAUUAUCUAUAUGGAUUAAUUGCUUUAAUUUAAACCGUCUUAAUAAUGAAAUCGUGAUAUCUUAAAGCAGUAAAUUGUGGUUAAAAUGUAUAACUCUGGGAGUAAAUCGAGUUUUAUUUGUGGAAUGACAUGUUAUUUUAGAAGUACAAAUUGAGUGUUGCUAAUGGUAAGUUCUUUCAGUUUUUAUUGAUUUAUGUGUAAUGUUUAAUUGAAUUUUUGAGUUUAUAGGUCGGGAAUUUGAAGAUGAAUAUAUGACAACCAGUUGAUAUGAUUACAAACGUGAUAUGAAAGGAUUAUAUUCUUGUAAUAUAAGUUAACAUAUUAAACUGCUUACGAACUUUUGAUUUUUAUUUAUGUCCUCACAUAAUUUAUUUUUGUUAUAAUAUUAGUUAUAGAAAUGUUACUGAGUUGAUUAUUCAGCAUUCGGUUUGCUUUUCGUGUGCAGGUUAGGUUCAAUUGUGUGCGCUCAUUGUUAUCAGCAUCCAGCAGAAAAUCUCGCACUCAUCGUGUUGGUGAAACUCUUACUAUUUUGGUUGGCAUGUACCUAUUGGCUUAUGUUAUAUUAAACUUAGUUAGAGAAUUAUUUCAUACUUUAAGACGUAUAAAUAGACAAGUUAAUUAAUGACUUUGAAUUAUCUUACUAUAAACAAGGGAUCACUCGAAAAUUAAUUAAUGACUUUGAAAUAUUAUUUUAUUAAAUAAUUAAAUUUUGACGUGAAAUUUUAUUACUAGGUCAUCGUGGUUUCAUAAGGACAAGUUAGUUAAAUUAAUUUGUUCAUAGAUUUUUAUCGGUAAAGUUGUCGUGAGUUUAACGAAAUUAGAAUUAAGUUGAGAAAAUAAUUUAGUUAAUUUAAUUAAUUAAAAGAAUAAAAAAUAUUUUGAGCAUAAAAAAUAUUUAUUGGAAUAAAAUUAUAUGAGUUGGUUUAAAAACAAAACAACCUAUAUAAUUAACCCGAUAAAUAAAAAUGCCCAAAUAGAUCCGAUAUAGGAGGGAGGGGAUGCAAACCAGUAUGGACCCAUUGAACUAGAUUUUUAUUAUUUUUUAAUCUUGAUGAUUUAUUUAAACGAACUAAACAGACCAAUCGAAACUAUUAAACCAACAAAUCAAUAACUUGAUUGGUUCGAAUUCUGAAAACGUUCGAUAAAGAACAUAAGUGUUUAGAUCCUCUCAAAUAUUGGAUUACAUCACUUCCAUGGGAGAAAAUGCAAUCAAUGUUCCAAACCCUAAUUCAAUUUUGAUGUCAACAACAUCUCUUUAAGACGCUUCAAGUGAGCAACUAUCUUAUCGGUAUCAGGCAAGUUGUCUUUGAUUACAGGGACUGAUUUGAAAUUUUGGAUCCACGAGCUCACUCGAGGGAAUUUGUGUGGCUCAAAGACUUUAAGCCAUGCUGCGUCUUCGAUAGCCCCGAGCCAGUGAGCAACCAUGCAAAAUGCAAUGUCCACCAUGUUUAUCUCGUCUCCACCGAAGAGUUUUUUCCCUCCGAUUAGCACAUGUUCUUCCAUGGCUUCCAGCAUUUCCAGCCACUCCUUCACUACCGCCUGUUGUUCUUCACCUUCGGUUCGAUAAAGCUUUGCGAUUAUAGGACUUUGUUUUAAACAGAGAUUCUAGUAUCAGCCAUCAAAAUUUAUGUACCAAAAAAAUUUUCAAACUACAAAGAGCUAGAAUCUUAAUUUCAACUAGGUUAAAAUAUGUUACAAGUACUUGUAUUCUUUGUAUGUUUGCAAUUUAGUCCUACUAUUUUUUAUUUCAAGAAAUUUAAUCCCACUACUGUUAAAGUACUUUACGGGUUUGAAAUUUAACCACUACUCCCACAUCGGGGGCUUGAACUUUUUUUGUUCAAACUAGUCCUUGAACUUGGCGAUUGUUCUCAAGGUAUGGCCUAGACCAUUUUUUGUUCAAGUUAAUCCCUAAACUUGACAAUUGUUCUCACAUUGAGGUUUGAACUUUUUUUGGGUCCAAGUUAGACAUUGUAUGAUAAACCACUAAAAAAAUUUAAUCAAUAAAAAAUUAAUAUUUUCAAUGAUUAGUAUUUUACACAUGUUUGAUAAUUCAAAAUAAAAAAAUAAUCCAAUAGAAUUUUUUCUAUAAAAAAAGUGUCGAAAAUGAUGAGUAAAUAAAAGUUAAUUAUCGCUUAAUGGAGAAUAUUUUCAAUUAACUCAAUUUUAUUUUAUUUAUUUUAAUAUUAUGUUAUCCUAUAAAAACUAAAUGUUUAAAAAUAUAAAAAGACAAAAAUAUCUACAUAAUCUUAUAAGCUACCUAGUAGAUUAAAUAUUUUUUUAGUAAUUUCCUAAAUUGAGACAUGGUUGGUGGGUGACACCGACUCAGUAAAAAACUUAAUAAAUAACUAGAAAUUCUAACAUACACGUAUGCAUGUGAAUACCACAAAUUUCGAAUGCAGAUUGAGUCAGUGUCUAGUUAACUUAUGACAUCAACUCAGUUAAAAGCUUUAUUAAUAUUAACUAUAUAUACAACUGGUGGAGGUAAUAAAACGUGCGUAAUAAAAUAAAAAUGUAUAAAAAUAUCAAAAUAAAACUUUAGUUGAAUGGUAUAUUAAAAACUUUAAUAGUGCAAUUGGCAUGGGUUUAAUUCCUACCAUUCUUUAAAGUGACAAGACUAAAUUAACCUUGAAUAAUAUUACUUAUUUUAAUUACGUAAAGGCCUUCUCGUAAUUUCCUAAACAAGUUGGUGCCUGGUUGACUUGUGACACCAACUUAGUCAGUGCUUUAUUAAUACUAGAAAUUCUAUCACGUGCGUAUGCAUGUGAAAACCACAAAUUUAGAACACAAAUGUGUGUUAAAAAUAACAUACAAUAAAUAAUAAAAUGUAUAGGUUGACACUAAAUAAAAAUAAUAACAUGUAAAAUUUGAAGAUAUUAAAAUGAAAAUGAAUAGAUUAAAAUUGUUUAUCAUAAUAUUGUCAUCAAUCUUGAGUCAGUGCUGAGUUAAGUUAAGACACCAGUUCAAUAAAAUAUAUAUAAUUGAUUGGGGUAAGAGUGUGCAUAAUACAAAUUGAAAUGUACAAAAUAUUAAAAUAAUACUUUAAUUAAGUGAUAAAUUAAAAGUUUUUCUAAGUCAAUUCACCAGUUUUCAAUUCCCAUCAUAUGUAUUUUUAUUAUUAUUUUUAAAUAGAAAAAUUAAAUUAUCCUCAAAUAUAUAAAUUAUUUUACUUGCAGAAAAAUAUUUUCGUAUUAUUUCUAAUUUAGUUGGUACCACACUUAUCAAGUCAAUACAACACUUAAAAAAUAAUAUUGACUAUUUAUUCAAAAAAUAUUGACUAUUGAUAUAGAUAAAAUAAAUAUAAAUAAAAAAAAUCAAUAAAUGGGAAAAUUGCCAUAUGCAUCAAAUAAAUAAAAAGGUUUAAUUCAAAAUUAGUAUCUAAAACUAUGCCAAUUUUCUCAUUUUAAGUACCUAAAUUUUUCAGUAAAAAAUAUGCUUAAACUAUUAAAUUCGUUAUAUUUUAUCUAAAAAGUGUACGAUGCCAAUAAAAUUAAUCGUUUAAAUAUCAUUUUUGCCAAAAAAAAACUCUUAGACACCUAAGUGGUAAAUACGAUAUAGUUUGAGGGUUAAUUUUGUAUUUAAGCCAAGAAAAGAAAAGAAGAGGAUUUUACCUUGUCAUCUGCAAAUUUGAUCCAAAACAGAGCAACGGCUCUGUCAUAGGGAUCAGCCGGCAGCAAGGGAUUUUGCGGCCAAAUUUCAUCGAUAUAUCGAAGGAUGACGGUGGAUUCGCAGAUCGGUUUUCCGUCAUGAACGAGCACCGGGACUUUCUUAUGAAUUGGAUUAUAUUGAAGGAGCAAAGGACUCUUGUUGGAGAGAUCUUCUUCGAUGUAUUCGUAAGGUAUGCCUUUGAGUUUCAGAGCCCAAAUUACUCUGAAAACGUACGGACUAAGCCAAGCUCCGAACAGUUUCACAACCGCCAUGGUUGGGAGAUUAGUCGAUUUUCUGGUAGAUCCUGAGAGCGGUGAGUGUAAAUUUAUAAUAG
RNAcentral lists this long non-coding RNA (87501 nucleotides) under Gossypium raimondii (Peruvian cotton). Its description in RNAcentral is "long non-coding RNA (GRAI_LNC003418)". The stretch from base 31982 to 32121 matches the Rfam family "MIR7502 microRNA precursor family". Lineage: Eukaryota; Viridiplantae; Streptophyta; Magnoliopsida; Malvales; Malvaceae. The record is from RNAcentral.